UACUUGAAACAAAGCCAUUGUCGACACAGAGCGCCCUCUCAUCACCGCAAUGGCUUUUGAAAGAAACCUUUUGAUUGUUACUAUACUCAUCACCUUGGGGACCUUGGCAUCUGAAGCCACGUCCCGCACAUUGUACCAAGCUUCCAUUGCUGCAAAACAUGAGCAGUGGAUGAAAAAGCAUGGACGCGUUUACCAGGACAGUGCGGAGAAGGAAAGGCGUUUCCUGAUAUUCAAAAACAAUAUGGAGUUUGUCGAGAAAUUCAACAGUGAAGGGAACAUGACUUACAGCCUAUGCGUCAACCGAUUUUCGGAUAUGAGCUAUGACGAAUUCCUCAGGUAUUAUACUGGAUACCAGCAGCCCACUGAAUCAACCUCAUCCGCAGAUGCAUCAUUUACGUACGAAAACCUAAGCCCGACGGAUGUUCCCCCAAGCAUUGACUGGAGGGACAAUGGAGCUGUUACUCCGGUAAAAGAUCAAGGGCGCUGUGGUAAGAGCACCAACCACCAUAUUAAUAUGGGGCUAAGUACAUAUAUAUGUAUUGCAUUAAUUACUUUCUUCGUGCAUUCAUCCUACGGAAAUUCAUUCAUAUCCGUUUGUUCAAAUACAUGCAGGUUGUUGCUGGGCAUUUUCUGCAGUGGCAGCAGUCGAAGGGAUUACCCAAAUCAAAACUGGCAAAUUGAUCUCACUGUCUGAGCAACAGCUUGUGAACUGUGAUACAGAUAACAACAGGGGCUGCCAAGGUGGUUGGAUGGUUGAUGCCUUUGCAUACAUUAAACAAAACGGAGGAAUUACCAGUGAAGAAAAUUACCCAUACCAGAGUUUAGAUGGCAGUGAAGGAACAUGUGAUAUGAACAAGGCAAAAGAGGCUGCUGCCCGGAUAACUAGUUAUGCAGAGGUACCUCCCAACAGUGAAACCGAUCUACUCAAGGCUGUGUCCAUGCAACCAGUCUCCGUUGCCAUCAAUAUGUCACCAGCCUUUCAGCAUUAUUCAGGCGGGGUGUUCACCGGUGAUGAUUGUGGGACAUCAUUGGACCACGCUGUUACCGUCAUUGGGUAUGGGACAACUGAUGAUGGCACCCCCUAUUGGUUAAUCAAGAAUUCAUGGUCCGAUACGUGGGGUGAGAAUGGCUACAUGAAGAUUCUUAGAAACGCUGAAGCCCCAGGUGGUGUUUGUAGCCUCGCUACGAAAGCUUCCUAUCCGACUAUGUAAUGUAUUAAUGAAAGGGUGGAGUGAGCUUCUCCACUUUGCCUAUAGGUUAUAAGUACUACAGACAAAAACCAUAGGCUGUGAAAAUGCCUGUAUUUUGUAUUUGCUAAAAGUAUGGUUUAUGAAAUUACACUAUUUUUGUUGUGCUAGGAUAACACCAAAACCAAUUGGAACCAACUCAAGCUAACCCACAGGAAAUUUAUCAAAUGAAAAUGCAAGAACAAAAUAUAAAAGACACCAAGAUUUUAACGAGGUUCCUCAACAGUCAGUGUAACUGGAGUACGUCUUCGGAGCAGUAGGAGCUCACCCAAUAAUCCACUAUCAACCAAUUGGGAGUUUACAAAGUGUUGGGAAUCUCACAACCCAAAUAACUCAAUACACCAAAUAGCUCUCACACACCACAGAAAAAAUAGAGAAAGAAAUAUAAUGAAUAAUUUCUUCUCUAUACAUAUAGCUCAAUGUUAUUUCAACAACAACCACUUUGGUGGAUGAUUACUAACCAAAUGAAGCAUCAUCUUCUUCUUCCUUUUGGGCUCUCUACAACUCUCCUUGCUCUCGGCAGCUCUCACUUCUCUCUUCAGAAAAAAAUGAGCCCCUUCUUCUCUUUUUUUUCUCUUCAUCCGAAGAAAACCAAUAAUUAUGGCUUUGAAAAAGCCACAAAACAAGGAAACAUAAUCAUGAUGCCUCCUCAUCAUUAUGUCCUUCAAUCUUUUGUUUUGUUUACUAGCCGAAAGUGAAUGCCAAGUUGGCCACUAAUUUGGCCAUUAUCCAACAAUCUCCACAUUGGCCAAAUUCCGAAAACACCAUUAUAAGCCAACCAACACAAAAAACACUCCCAAACACAACCAAGAGAACAACUCAUACUGAGCCAAAUGCUCCAAAACUCCUACUGCUCAUCACCUUCUUUAUAUAGGCAAAAUGUGAGCCAAGUUCAAGCAAUGAACAAACUUGGCUACACCAACAACCUCAGUCAACAUAUCAACGGGGUUGUCAUUAGUUGGAAUGUCUGGAGAAUGAUUUCUCCUUCACCAACAACUUCACGAACAAAGUGAUAACGCACAUCUAUGUGCUUGGUCCUUGCAUGGUGAACAUGAUACUUAGCCAAAUAAAUGGCACUCUGACUAUCACAAUGCACCUGCACCUGCUUCUGAUCCACCCCCAAAUCUCUAAUCAGCCUAUGUAUCCAAAUGGCCUCCUUUAUAGCUUCAGGAACUGCCAUAUAUUCAGCCUCUGUAGUAGACAAGGCAACAGACGACUACAAAAUGGACCUCCAACAAACUGGCCCUUUAGCCAUAGUAAACACAUAGCCUGUAGUAGACUUCCUUCCAUCCAGAUUACCUGCAUAAUCUGAAUCAACAUAACCAACUGCAAAAUGACCAAUACUAGAGUCAUCCCUCUCAAAACAUAAACCAACAUCUUGAGUACCAUGGAGAUACCUCAAUAUCCACUUAGCUGCUUGCCAAUGCUCUUUACCAGGAUUAUGCAUAUAUCGACUCACCAUGCCAACUGCAUGAGCAAUAUCCAGUCUAGAGCAUACCAUUGCAUACAUCAAACUACCAACCAAAUUUGCAUAUGGUAUAUUUUUCAUUUGCAGCUUCUCCUUAUCAGCUUUAGGACAUUGUAGAGAACUCAAUUUAAAAUGAGGAGCUAAAGGGGUACUAACCGGUUUGGUUGAAUCAUGAACUCCAAACUUCUGAAUCAACUUCUCAAGGUAUUGUCUUUGAUUGAAGCAUACCAAACCUUUCUCUUUGUCUCUAGUGAUCUCCAUGCCAAGGAUCUUCUUUGCUUCACCAAGAUCCUUCAUCUCGAACUCAUUCUUCAUUUGCUUCUUCAAUUUCUCAAUCUCUUCGACAUUCUUUGAGGCAAUCAACAGAUCAUCAACAUAUAUCAACAAAUAAAUGAAAGACCCAUCUUGAAAAUUCUUGAAGUACACACAAUGAUCAUAUUGACUUCUAGAAUAAUUUUGGCCUUUCAUAAAUUUAUCAAACCUUAAAUACCAUUGCCUUGGAGAUUGCUUCAAGCCAUAAAGUGAUUUCUUCAAUUUGCAAAACAAAUUCUCCUUCCCUUUCACUGUAUACCCAUCCGGUUGACACAUAUAGAUCUCUUCAUUCAAAUCACCAUGUAAGAAAGCCGUCUUCACAUUAAGUUGCACAAGCUCAAGAUCAUACUGUGCAACAAGCGCUAACAUAAUGCUAAUUGAGGAGUGCUUCACAACAGGAGAAAAGAUUUCAUUGUAGUCAAUACCAUCAUUUUGUGCAUACCCUUUAGCAACUAAUCUUGCUUUGAAUCUCACAUUGCUUUUCUCAUCAGCAUUUUCCUUCUUGGCAUACACCCAUUUGCAAGUGAUAGCUUUCUUGCCCUUAGGCAAUUUAGCUAACUCCCAAGUCUUGUUCUUCAAGAGAGAAUUCAUCUCAUCACCCAUGGCAUUGCACCACAUCUCAUUCUCCUCACUCUCAAUGGCUUCCUCGAAAUUGGAUGGAAUAUCAUCAAUGAUAAUAGGAAGAGCAAAAGCAACAUAGUCACUAUACCGGGCUGGCUUGGUAAUUUGUCUCUUUCCUCUGUUCUUGGCAAUAGACUCUUGAGGUGAAACUUGCUCUUCAACUUGAAUAGAAUCUUCAAGUUCAACUUCUUCAACAUCCUCAUGGUCUCCAACUUCUUCACUUGUAGUGGCUUUGACAUCAGCAUAAAAAAGAUUUGAAGUACUAGAGGCAACUUUCUCAAGCUCCACCUGUUGGACAUCUUUCACAUUCUUCUCAGAGUCCUUGUACAUACUUUCUUCAUCAAAUGUCACAUCUCUACUAAUUACAAGUUCCUUCAUCUCUGGGCACCACAACCGGUAACCUUUGACACCACUACAAAAACCAAGAAAGAUAGCAUUUUUGGCUCUAGGAUCAAGUUUAUUUUCAGUUACAUGAAAAUAAGCAGGUGAACCAAAAAUACGAAUAUGAUCAUAAUCAGAAGAGGGUUUUCCAGUCCAUACCUCCAUUGGUGUCUUACCCUGAAUAGCAGCUGAGGGUAACCGAUUGAUGAUGUGACAUGCAUAAGUAACUGCCUCUGCCCAAAACGACUUGCUCAAACCCGAUUGAGAACAUGCAUCUAACCUUCUCAAGCAAGGUUCGAUUCAAUCUUUCUGCAACUCCAUUUUGUUGUGGAGUUCCCCAGACACUAAAAUGUCUCACAAUCCCUUCCUCUUUGCAAACUUUAAAGAAAGGGUCAGAUGUGUAUUCACCACCAUUAUCCAAUCUCAAAAUCUUAAUCUUUCUCCCAGUUUGGUUUUCAACCAUUUUCUUUCAACCCAAGAAAAUGCUUAACACCUCACUCUUGUGCUUCAUAGUGUAGACCCAAGACCUUCUUGAAUAAUCAUCAACAAAAGUCACGAACCAAUGUCUACCACUCAAAGAGGGAGUCUUUGUAGGACCCCAAACAUCUGAAUGCACAUAAUCAAGAAUGCCCUUCGUCUGAUGUACCACAGUACCAAACUUCACUCUAGUUUGCUUCCUAAGACACAAUGCUCGCAUAAAUCAAGCUUACAAGUCGUGGCACAUUUUAGAAAACCUUGUUUCACAAGCCCUUGUAGAGCUUUCUCACCGGCAUGGCCUAAUCUCAUAUGCCACAGUCUAGUAGUAUCAGAAUCAUAUAUGCCCAUAUUUUCUGAGACUACAGAUGUUUCACCUGUCACAGUGCUUCCUUGCAAUAAAUACAAAUGGCCACAUCGAUGAGCUUUCAUCACAACAAGUGCACCAUAAGUAACUUUCAAUGUCUGUCCAUCUGAAUGAAACCUGAAGCCCUUGGAUUCCAAAGUACCCAAAGAAAUAAGAUUUUUCUUCAAAUUCGGUACAUACCGAACACCUGUCAACUCUUUAACCAUGCCAUCAUGCAACUUCAAACGAACUAUACCAAUCCCUUUUGUUGUGCAAGGAUUGUCAUCUCCUAUGAACACAACGCCACCAUCAAACUCUUUCAAGCUUGAAACCCAAUCCUUGUGAUGAGUCAUAUGAUGAGUACAACCCGUAUCCAACACCCACUUAGUAGCACAAUCAAAUGAUGAGAAAGUGGUUAAAGCAAAAUCAGAAAAAAUCUGUUUCAACCUCAGCAACAUUCAAUCAACCAUCAGCAGCCUUGCAGCUGCUUUCCGUUCCAUUCCAAGUGAAAGCCAAAAUAGUCGAUUUGAUACUUAUGAGUGGUUGGAGUAAAAUAUAGCAAGAGAUGCUGCAUUUUGCCGUUAUUGCUAUAUUUUCAAAUGAAAACGGGAGAUGUUGGCAGUGAUGUCUUCACUGAAAAGGAUUUUUAAUGUAACUUGUUUGUAUUGAUAAAUUAUGGACGAUAUUACUAAAUUGAAAUGGUUGUUUCCCUUUUUUUAAACUUUGCACUCUUUUAAAUUCGCCCCUCCCCCUACUAAUUCCUGGCUUCGCCACUGAAUACUACAGAUGGCACCAAGUUCAGGAUAUUCAAGAAUGAAUGGGGUGAGAGCUAGGGCAAAAAUGGCUACAUUUGAAUUCUUAGAGAUGCUGGCCCUCCUAAAGGUCUUUGUGGCCUUGCUACAACGGCUUCCUACCCAAUUAUAGAUUGAUCGUGUCGGCUUCAAAGGCUACAAUUAAGUGCGUAAAUCUAAUUUUCUUCUCAAUAUUGAGAAAGCUCCGUUGAUAAAAAAGGGCUUGUAUUUUGUAUCUGAUUAGCAUAACUGAAGACGGCAUCAAGUUGUUUUGAAAAGAAUAUAAUUAAGUGUGUGGAUCUAAUUUUCUUUUCAUUUAGGUGUGCAGAGUUUUAUCUCAAAAUACCUUGAUUCUCUAGACUUAAAAUUUUAGAUAGUUUUUCCACUUGAUGAAGUUGAAACUUGAUAUACAUUAGAGCAAUUUUUAUCAAUUAGCUGAGCAUAAAAUUAAUUCAGAAGAUCUGCAACCUCAAGAGAAUUAGUUUUGAAAAGCACACUAAAUUACAUGAAGAACACUUUGAGUGCCAGUCGAGCAACUCUGAGUUGGAGGGCCACUGCAUUGACUUACUAUUGUUAGUACUUGGAUUUCAAAAACAUCAUCAUCAAAUACUGGAGUUUUACGUUUAAAUUUCAUGAACCUGACCCCAAUUCCGUAUGGACUCGGUAUGAGGUUCACUGAUGCAGAUUGGUAAAUUUGUAAUCAUCAGCACCUUUAACGGAAACUAAAGGCCAAAGGGCAAAGACUUCAGCAAAUAGACCAAGGACUUGUAGUCAUCAGACCCUUGAGUCAUCAAUGGAUCCUUCGAACUUCUUUGUGCACAAACUCCACGGCGAAAACAAAACAAGCGUAGCAUUCGGGCUAGACUGAUUGAUGAAGUUUACCGUGAAUCAUCAACCUGUGGAAUGUGCCUGGAAAUUUGGCUCCCUUCCAAAUUCCCAUCCUAACAAUUUCAACAAAGUGCACAUGCAGGACAUCCCGAACGUCUUCUAUAUAAACCGGUAAUAUCAUGCUUGCUUCUUCACAUCCAGCUUGCCAAUCACUACUUGAAACAAAGCCAUUGUCGACACAGAGCGCCCUCUCAUCACCGCAAUGGCUUUUGAAAGAAACCUUUUGAUUGUUACCAUACUCAUCACCUUGGGGACCUUGGCAUCUGAAGCCACGUCCCGCACAUUGUACCAAGCUUCCAUUGCUGCAAAACAUGAGCAGUGGAUGAAAAAGCAUGGACGCGUUUACCAGGACAGCGCAGAGAAGGAAAGGCGUUUCCAGAUAUUCAAAAACAAUGUGGAGUUUGUCGAGAAAUUCAACAGUGAAGGGAACAUGACUUACAGCCUAUCCAUCAACCGAUUUUCGGAUAUGACCUAUGACGAAUUCCUCAGGCAUUAUACUGGAUACAAGCAGCCCACUGAAUCAACCUCAUCUGCUGCUGCAUCUUUUACAUACGAAAACCUAAGCCCGGCUGAUGUUCCCCAAAGCAUUGACUGGAGGGAGAAGAGUGCUGUUACUCCAGUAAAAUUUCAAGGGAGCUGUGGUAAGAGCACCAACCGCCAUAUUAACAUAGGGCUAAGCUUCCUUGUACAUAUGUAUGUAUUGCAUUAAUUACUUUCUUCGUGCAUUCAUUCCUACGGAAAUUAAUUCAUAUCCGUUUGUUCGAAUACAUGCAGGUUGUUGCUGGGCAUUUGCCGCAGUGGCAGCAGUCGAAGGGAUUACCCAAAUCAAAACUGGCAAAUUGAUCUCACUGUCUGAGCAACAACUUGUGAACUGUGAUACAGAAAUUAACGAGGGCUGCCAAGGUGGUCGGGCAGUUAAUGCCUUUGCAUACAUUCAACGAAACGGAGGAAUCACCAGUGAAGAAAACUACCCAUACCAGGGUUUAGAUGGCACAUGUGAUAUGAACAAGGCAAAUGAGGCUGCUGCCCACAUAACUGGUUAUGCAGAGGUACCUCCCAACAGUGAAACCGAUCUACUCAAGGCUGUGUCCAUGCAACCAGUCUCCGUUUCCAUCCACGCCUCACCAGCCUUUCAGCAUUAUUCAGGCGGGGUGUUCACCGGUGAUGAUUGUGGGACAAAAUUGAACCACGCUGUUACCAUCAUUGGGUAUGGGACAACUGAAGAUGGCACCCCCUAUUGGUUAAUCAAGAAUUCAUGGUCUGAUACGUGGGGUGAGAAUGGCUACAUGAAGAUUCUUAGAAACGCUGAUGCCCCAGGUGGUGUUUGUGGCCUCGCUAUAAGACCUUGCUAUCCGACUAUGUAAUGUAUUAAUCAAAGGGCGGAGUGAGCUUCUCCACUUUGCCUAUAGGUUAUAAGUACUACAGACAAAACCCAUAGGCUGUGAAAAUGCCCAUAUUUUGUACUUGCAAAAAGUAUGUUCUAUGAAAUUACAUUAUUUUACCUUUAUAUUCAACAAUGAAUUUUCCUACCCUGCUUAGGCUAAAUCAAUAACCACAGCUGCAACGGCAGUUUGCUGGAUUACGCCUUUGAAUACAUAUAGCAAAACCGAGCAAGUGACAAAACGAGCAUGCUUCCCAGAUAACCGGCUAUGGAACAUGCCUUCCACAGUGAAAACGACCUAUUGAAGGCCGUGUCUCCAUGACGAGCCUUUCAGUUUCCUAUGGUGGGAUUUUCUCCAAUGAUCGUGGGAAAGAACUGAACCAUGCAUUUGCAACCAUCGGGUAAGGAGUGAAUAAAGACGGCACCAACCAUUUGCAGAAACAUGACAUAUCUUUGUCGGCUGGCUAUGGAUUCUUCUUUUCAAACUAUCUAAACUAUUGAUAUAAUCAAGGGGUUGAGAGAUCAUCUCGACUUCUCCUAACAAACCAAAACUACCAGGCUUCGCCUAUAGCCAAGAAAAUUUCUUGUAGUAGCUAAUCUAUACCAUUCAAUAAACUUUCGGGAUCUUAUAAAACAAUAUUGAAAACAGGAUAAUAUAUGCAUUUCAUUUGGUAUAGAUAUUUAAUGAUAUGGAUAACCGAAAAUGAGUUCUAACAACAACGCUAACAGAACAAAAUGGAUAUUCAAACAAAAAAAAAAAAAUUAGCCUUUCCAAAUGAAACAAUACAGAAAGUAUAAUGAGAAAUAAGUUUGAAAUUCUGCCACUGUUCACAAUAAUAGGCUAAUAGACAUCAUUACCUUACAUGCCAUUACACUUAUCUAAUAAACUGUAUGAAAUAGACGGAACCAGGCACAACUAACUAAUAAGCUUAAUCUCCUUCCGUUUGCUUAGUUACUAUCCACAACAUACAUCACUUUAAAGAACAAAUAUAUGGCAAAUGACAUUUUAUCGUAGUGACAGAAAACAAUCAUGUUUAUGCACUCUAUUGCGGAUUCAAUCCCUACCGAUCUCUCUCUCACCUAACAACUAACAAUUUAACAAUUUAACUUACUAACCAUAUAAACUGUUGAGAAAUCUACGAAUCAAAUCCCUGAUUGUUGUAUAUUUACCUUAUGUAUAUUUACUUAGUUAGGAAGUCAACUCCUUCUUUCAUGGAGUUAAUCAUGUAUAAUCUAUGUAUAUAUUUUACUUCCCCGUUCAUAUCAAUAAUAUACAGAAAAUUCAAACCUUCGGUUCUUAUGAUGGUAUCAGAGCCCCUUCAUGGUGGCUCCUGAUUUUCCUCUUUGUUUCAUGUGCUUUUGAAGCUUUCAAGAGAAAGAUAUUUUUUUCCUUGUCUUGAAUCACAAUUUAAUCAUGGGAAUGGGAGAAAAUUCAAACAUCAACUCCAAUUCUAUCUCCGAUCAGCAGACGCAUCUUUUCAAAUUGCUUGCUGGGCUCACACCAGAACAACUUCAACAGCUUAUAGCAGCUAUAUCCAUGUUAAAAUUACAAAAAUCAGAAAAUUGCAAUACAUUUGCAAAUACGGCAAGUCAAGUUUUUUAUGAGUUUCCAUCAAUUAAUUUUGUAUCUUCUAAUACAUGAAUUUUGGAUAGUGGAGAGAUGGAUCACAUUACAUCCGACUCUUCUUCCAUGCCUUCAGUUAAUUUACCCACUGGUUCAUCUGCUCCUAUUUCUUCAAUUGGCUCGAUACUUUUGACAAGAAUAUCACUUUGAACAAUACUCUUUGUGUUCCCUCAUUCCGUCUUAAUUUGGUGUCUACCAGCAAAGUCACUAAAUCUUCAAAUUGUUAUGUCAUUCUCUUUCCUGACUUUUGUGUUUUAUAGGACUUGGCUACAUGGAGGAUAAUUGGCUUGGGUAAACAGCAAGGCGGUCUUUAUUACAUGUCACCACUAGACACAUCCCCGACAACUCCCCUUUCAUGUCAUGUUUCCCACACAUCUAGUAUAUGGCAUUGACAUCUUGGUCAUCCUUCACCGACUCGACUCAAAUUACUUUCCAAUUUGCUUCCUUCUGGUACUGUUUCUAUUGAACAUAAUAGUGAUGUUGGCCCAUGGCUAAACAUACAAGAUUACCUUUUUCAUUAAGUUCCAUCUCUUCUACUGUGCCCUUUGCUUUAUUACAUUGUGAUAUUUGGGGUCCUCACAAACUUAAAUCUAAUUAUGGGGCACGUUACUUUCUUACCAUUGUUGAUGAUUACACAAGGUGCAGUUGGAUAUUUUUGAUAACCCAUAAGUCUAAAACACAAUCCCUCAUGAAAUCCUUUGUCACCUUCAUUCAUAGUCAAUUUAGUACCACCAUUAAAACAAUAAGGUCCGAUAAUGAAGCGGAAUUUAUCUCAUUACGAGAUUUUUUCCUUGAUAGUGAGGUUGAAUUUCAACUUUCAUGUGUUUACACUCCACAACAAAAUGGAGUAAUUGAACGCUAGCAUCGCCACAUUCUCAUUAUGGCUCAUGCUUUGCUCUUCCAAGCCAAUUUGCCAUUAAGUUUUUAGGGGGAGUAUGUUCUCACUGUAGUUUAUCUUAUCAAAAGGAUAUCCACUCCAUUACUAUCAAAUAAGUCACCCUAUGAGAGGUUAUACAAUCGAUCCACCAAGCUUGAUCAUCUCAGGGUAUUUGGGUGCCUUUGUUAUGCUAUUGUUAUUCAACCACUACAAAAAUUUCGAUUCACGUGCGCGUCGUUGUAUUUUUGUUGGCUAUCCAACAUGUCAAAAAGGAUAUAAGCUUUAUAAUUCGAGGACACAAAAAUUUCCUGUUAGUAGAGAUGUGACAUUCCAUGAAAAUAUUUUUUCCUAUGGAUCUCUAACUCAAGAAAACCACUAUCAAAACUCAAAAAUUGUUUUACCCAUAGUUCACCCUUAUUAUCCUAGUCAAUAUGUGGGCUCCACCACCCCAUAUAUUACUUCCUCUCCAUCCGCCUAUCCACCACCACUUAUAUCUCAUGAGUCAGAUGCCACCACCCUACCCAUUAUUUCCUCACCUUCUACCUAUCCACCACCACCUGCAUCACAUGAUUCAGAGGCCACCACCCCACACAUCUCUUCAUGCAUCAACAAUUUAUACCUCUCCACAUGACAAUUCAACCUAUCCCAAUCCAUCAUCUCUUCUUUUGACUGCUCCUACUAGACAUUCUACUCGAACCCACCAACCAUCAUUGUGGCAUAAAGAUUACCAUAUGUCAAACAUAACUUUUACCCAAGUGUUGUUGUCCGACUUCAUGCUAACUUCUAUUCAAGGUACGAAGUAUCCAUUAUCAAAUUUUGUUUCAUAUUCAAGACUAUCUAUCCAACAUUGUGUUUUUUUAGCUACUAUCUCAAGCUAUAAAGAACCCACAUCUUAUUCACAAGCUGCCGCAUACCCCAAUUGGUAGCAAGCCAUGACUAUCGAACUCAAUGUUUUGCAAUAGAAUAAUACAUGGAUGUUGGUCGCUUUACUUGCGGGGCAUAAACCCAUUAGAUGCAAAUGAGUUUAUUGUAUCAAAUAUCAUUCCGAUGGGACCAUUGAACACUACAAAGCUCGUCUUGUGGCAAAUGGCUACCUCUAAAUUAAAGGCAUCGAUUACAUUGAGACCUUUUCCCUAACUGCCAAACUCAUCACUCUCCGUUGCAUUGUCCCAGUCGCUGUUUCUCGCAAUUGGAAAAUUCAUUAGCUCAAUGAUCAGAACGCCUUUCUCCAUGGCGACUUGCACGAGAAGGUGUAUAUGGACCCUCAUCCCGAACUUCGCUGAUAGGGGGAGCACUUGGUGUGUCGGCUUAACAAGUCUUUGUAUAUUCUCAAACAAGUCUUUCAUAUCUAGUUUUCCAAGUUUUCUAGUGCUAUAUAACAAGCUAGAUUUCAACAUUCCAAGGCAAAUUAUUCAUUAUUUACAAAAACCUGUGGUAGUUUUUUCACUGUGGUUCUCAUAUAUGUCAAUGAUAUCCUUCUCCCCGCUACUAUUUUCUUUCCGAGAAAUCAGCGUUACCAUGACACCAGAUUCACAAGGAGCCUUGGUGGCACACUUCCAGGUUAGACCCGUCUUGGUGGAUAUGGUUAGGGAAGCUUAGGAACUUGAUCCGCAGUGUGCAGUACUAAAGAAACAGGUACAGGAUGGGAAGAUGCGAGAUUUUAAAAUCCAGAGGGAUGGAGCCUUAGUGUUGGGAAAUAGGUUGUAUGUGCCUAAGGAUAACGAAAUGGUGAAGAAGGAAAUUCUUGAUGAAGCUCACAUCUCGGCGUAUGCCAUGCAUCUGAGAAGCACCAAACUAUAUCACACUAUCCGUCUGUUCUAGUACUGGGUUGGAAUGAAACGGGAUGUGGUGGAAUAUGUGAGUAGAUGUAUUAUUUGCCAACAGGUGAAAGCAGAGAGAUAAAGACCUGAGGGGCUAAUGCAGAAUCUCCCGAUAAUAGCAUGAAAGCGAGAAGACAUCACCAUGGAUUUUGUGUAUGGUCUGCCGAAGAUGCAAUCGAGGUUCAAUGGCAUCUAGGUGAUUGUGGACCGACUAACCAAGACCGUUCAUUUCUUACUUGUUCGACAGACCUAUUCAUUGGAGAAAUUGGCAAAGUUAUUCAUUGAUAAUAUUGUCACACUUCAUGGUGUACCCGUCACUAUCGUAUCAGACAGAGAUCCAAGGUUCACCUCUAGGUUUUGGAAAGCAUUCAAUGCCACCAUGGAUACUUAGCUAUUGUAUAGCACUGCCUAUUAUCCACAAACAGAUGGUCAAUCUGAAAGGACAAUUCAGACUUUGAAGGACAUGUUGACAGUGUAUGUUCUCCAGUGGAAGGGUAGUUAGGAUAGCUAUCUGCUGUUGGUUGAAUUUGCUUACAACAACAGUUAUCACUCCAAUAUCGGCAUGACACCUUUUGAUGCACUGUAUGGGAAGGCGUGUUGGACACCAUUGUGUUGGAUAUAGGUCGAUGAACGGGUGUUAGUAGGACCAGAAAUGGUUGACACCACAAAUACUAAUAUCCAGCUGAUCAAGAAGAACCUGAAGGUAGCACAAGACCGACAGAAGAGUAUUGUGAACCAACAUUCUAGGGAUCGAGAGUAUAAGGUUAGUGACUUUGUUCUCUUGAAGUUGUCACCCUGGAAAUGUGUGGUUCGAUUUGGUAAGCGAGGAAAGCUAAGUCCUCAAUAUGUGGGUCCCUACCAGAUUACAUAGAGGAUUGGUGUAGUUGCCUAUAAGUUGGAGCUACCACCAGAGUUGGCACAUGUUCACAACGUAUUUCAUGUUUCCAUGCAUCGAAAAUAUGUGUUAGACCCCUCUCAUGUGAUCUAGUCGAAACCGCUGAAAGUGAAUCAGGAUGCUAGCUAUGUUGAGCAACUAGUGGUUAUCGUCGACCAAUAAGAUCAAAUUUUAAAGAAUAAAGUUAUUCCGUUAGUUAAAGUGCUAUGGAAAAACCAUGCAGUUGAAGAAGUGACAUGGGAAACAGAAGAAUUGAUGAGGAAUUAGUACCCCUAUCUUUUUCUUUGAGUUUGUAAUUUCGGGGAUGAAAUUUUCUUUAAGGGGGUAGAUUAAAGCCCACCCUCAAAAUUAAUUUUAAUUUCAUUUGUUCCCUUCUAAUUAUGGAAAGUUUGCAUUUUGGUCCUCCUAUCUAUACCCAAUCUAAAUCUACUUUCCAGAUUUUCUCUCCACUUCUCCAUCUAUCACUGCUUGCCACGUGGCAAGCACCACCACCCUCCAUUUUUCUUUUCUCUUCCCCCAAGUCCCUCAUCAUCACUCUCAUAACUCUCCCAUCACUCCCUCUCUCAAAACUUAACCCUCAACUCCCCCUCUCCUCUCCGAAACUACACCACAACAACAAUAAAACACCACCACCAUCACCCUUAUGUUCUCAAAAACAAAGAAAAAACACCCCAAACCAUUCACUUCCAUUCGGCCUGUACAGUUCAUCGUCUUUUCCGAAGAGUUUCAUGAUUUUCCAAUGUUGGUAAGCUUCUAAAAACUUUUGGGAUGUGUUUUAAGGUUAGAUUGAAACUUGUUUUUAAGUUGUGUAUGCGCUUGAAUUGCAAAAAAUAGCUUGGGGUAGCUUUUCCAGAUUUUUCUGGCGAGCACCACCACUUUCGAGGCUUUUUCUAGCCAAAGCACUCCGAGUUAGCCAUCAUGUACGGUACCAUUCUUUUCCUCUCGUCGAGUACUACAACUUUUCUUUUUUAAUCACUUGAUUUGGUUGAGUAACGAAGAAGUUAUGAGCGUCUGAAAGUAGCCCAGAAACCGGCCAAAGUGUGGCCUAAAAACCACCUCCAACCCAGGCAUUUGGGUCGGGUUACCCAGCCUAAUAGACCCAAAGCCUAGAAACCCCAAAACCUAGAAAAUCCAACCAAGCCUUUGGGCCAUGGUUUUAGGCCCGUUAACCCCUUGAAGCCUAAACCCAUUAACCUUUGUAUUUUAUUUAUUUAUUUAUUUAUUUUCUGUUUAAACCCAAAAACACUUGGGCCAGGCCUUCAAGCCCAAGGCCCAUUAGACCAGCCUAAUAGACCCAAAACCCUAAAACCCAAGCCCAACCCUAAAUCGGUUUGACCCGUUAACUUCCACUUUGAUCGUUGACUUUGACCGGUCAACCGUCACGUUGACUUUUUCGGGUUUUUGUCUUCGACCUAUUUUUGACGUCUGUUUUUCCAAAUUCAAUCGUUUGAGUAUAGUUUUGUUAAUUGUACCCUUUGUGUGCUUAGGUACAAUUACUAGCGGUGUUCAUGUUCUUCCUUUUUCAUACAGCUCUACUACGAUGAAGUAUCUGUGAGUGGACCCCCUUCUAAAAUACAUAUUUUAUUAGUAGAAUUGCAUACAUGAGAAGCAUAAUUUAAUACUUACGUUUUAUGAAAAGUUUUGAGUGAUAUUGUGCUUACUGAGGCUAGUUUGAAUCAUCUUAUUUUCUAUCGAACCUAUGUUCUUUAUAGGAUAUCUGAUGGAUGAUGAUAUAAUAUUUAGAACAUGUUUUUACACACUUCUUUAUAGUAUAGAUGAUAAUGACUUUAUACUAUAAAGAUGUUUUUGAGAUAUAUGUACCUAUGUUUGGAAAGACUAUGUUCAAUGUUUUUGUGCGUAUCUAGUGGUAACUGUUCCGCCCACGGGCGAUGAUACUUAUAUUGGCUUCGGUCAGGUAUGGGUUGGAGGUUUCAGCCGAUAGAUACUUAUAUUGGCUUCGGCCGGGUGUAGGUUAGAAACUUCAGCUAGGAGAUACUUCUAUUGGCUUCGGCCGGGUGUAGGUUGGAGGCUUCAGCUGUGAAAUAUUGUUACUGAUACCACUAGUUAACACACUAUAUACGAGAUAAGUUUUGAUAGGUUUUAUGGCAUGCUAAGGCUUUUGGAAAACCUAUUAUCUUACUAUGCUCAGUGGCUGAGCCAGAAAUUCAUGUUAGGAGGGGCACACUUUAGAUCAAAAUGGACAUAAUACAUGUAGAAACUAUCUUGUUCUUUUGGUCGUCUUGGUAUCAAAGUUAAAAGUGAGUGACCAUGCAUUUAUUCUUGAUUAUAAACGGUCAACUAUAUCAAGAGUGGAACAUUAUUAAAAGCACAUUCAUUUAUUCUUCAUUCUUGAUAUUAAAUUCAAAGAUGACUGACCAUGCAUUCAUUUUCUCAUAGCGACCAAGAAAACAUAUUUCUAAAAACAUUAAGACAUGAGAGCAUUUGAAGGGUUUUUUGUGCUAAUUUGGAAAAAGGAAAUAUUUUUCUCUUCUUGAUUUCAUAGAUGAUAUAAUAGAGGGAAAUGAGAAAUUAACGAAAAUAAUAGUCUGCAAGCAAAGGGAAAAAUUGUAUAUGGGCAAGAAAUAGAGAAUAUGAUCAACUAAUAUUAGUAUAUAACUAUAGUUUCAAAUCUCUAAUGUAAAAAAUUGAAGGCUUUGUAUGUGUUGGAUUGAAGUUAAUUGGACUAACUAAUACAAUUACAAAUUCAAGUUGAUAGUGGUAUUAUAAAAUUAAUUAAUGUUAGUAGAGGUUGUUAGGAAAAAAAUUAUUUGAGGAUAGGCCCGAGCCUACCCUAGCCUAAAGGUGGCUCCGCCACUGACUAUGCUAUUGAGUUUUCAUAAAACUUGGGAGUUAGUAUGUUGUUAACUGUUUCAGUAAUAUAUAUAUAUAUAUAUAUAUAUAUAUAUAUAUAUAUAUCAACUUGGUCCACUCAUGUUUGUUUGUGCCCCCUUCAAGACAUAGGAACGAGGCAUACGAUUCGAGCUACGAGACAUUCCCCUACCAGUGAUACUACAUCGUUUUCCCUACUUAACAUUUAUUGUAAUAGCAUAUUCCGCUUGUAAUUCUCAGUUAGAUGUAUCAUCUGAACGUGUCAUGCAUCAUCAUUAUGUUUUCACUAUUGGCAGGUGAAUAUUAUUUUAUUACUACUUUAUGUUACAUUUCUCGAACGAAAUUUAUAUGCAGGUUUCAUAUGUUCUCAGCAUUUGCAUUCAUAAAUGGCUUGUGUCACCUUCGCGUGUCGGCCAAUACGUGACCAUCCCGAUGUCCCUUGGACAUUGGGAUUGGGGCAUGUCAAAUAAAGCCAGUUUGAGCAAGUGGGUCGAAUUGUAUUGGACAUUGUUGCAUCUUGGAGCAUGUGAUUGCUGGGAAGUUUAAGCUGGGGUGGAAGAUUGAGAGUGGGUCUUUCAGAGAACUCUAUUUAGGUAUGGUAAUCAGUGCUUGAUAUCCUUUUUUCCUUAGAAAAUUAUUCAUUGUGUUAAUUUAAUGUGUUUUGUAAUGAAAUUGCUCUUCUGAUGUUAGGGGUAAAUGUACACAGUGGGGAAGAGGUGGCUAUUGAGUUGGUAUAUGAUUGAUCCUCAAAUCGUAGAUUCAGUUAUGAUGUUUGGUUUAUAGCUAAAUGUUUGCAAGCAUUGUAUAAUUUUGUGCCGAAGUUAUAAAUAGGCGGCUUCAUUAAUGUACUAGGAUAUGUUAAGUGUGAGCUUUUGGUAAUUCAUUAUGAUUUCAUGUAUGCUUCCAUAUAUAUUGAAAUUGUCCAGUUUGCUCAUGGAUGUUUCUGUAUGAUUUUGCAUGUCUCCCUUGAUUAAAGCUUGAGCAAAAUAUGCUUAUGAAAUCGAUAUGUGGUUUAGCCUUAUAAAUGUGCCUUCAUCUAUAUUGCUUAUUUGCUACCCAUAUAAACAUAUAACUUUAUAUGAGAUUUACCCCCAUUUGAAAACGAGUGUUUUUAUGCGAUGUUUAUAUGUGUAGGCACUGGAAUUAGUGUCUUUUGUUUUUAUUUUGAUCCCAACUGCUCAAAUUCAUUGAUUAUCAUAUGACAUGGUUAACAAUUUCUGUGAUUUUAAAACACUUGGAGGUGAGAUUUACAUAAUUAAGUAGUCAAUUGAAAAAUUGAAAUGAGAUGUUAGUUUUACCUGACUGAUUUCUUUGUUGGGUUUAUUACUGCUUAAUGUUAAAACCCAAAAAUGGUUUUUUGAGCAAGUGGUGAUCGGCCCGCCUGGUUUAGGAAAUACUGCUUACUGCAAUGACAUGUCUGAGUAUAUCUAGCUCAUCCGAAGGUAAAAAAUUUCACUAUGAAUUCUGGGUUUUCAAGUUUUUCCAUGGCUUCAAUUUUGGUUUUUGAAUCCAUUUGAAAUAUUUACAGUGGAAAUUUGUUGUUUUGGUGUGUAGGAAAGUUUUUGUGGUAAAUUUGGAUCAUGCCGCCGAUGCAUUGUCGUAUCCUUUUCGGGGUUUUAUUUUUUUCAUCUUUAUUGUUCAGAAUUUGUAGUGUUGCGUUGCAUUGCAUUCCAAUGUCGAAUAUUGAGGGUAAUAAAGUAGAGCUACUAGUUCACCUUCUUUCAUUUGGUGCCUUUCAACAUUGAGCUUUUUAAUCCUACUCAUUUUGCUUAGUUUUUGUUCGAUUUGGGUUUUGCAGUCGAUUUGGGGAUUUUGAAAUGGUGGACGUUGGGCCAGUUACACCACAACAGGUACUUCAAUUUCAAUGCCAUGACUGUGUAUUUCUUUUGCGUAAUUUGAUCUCCUACUGAUUUCGAUUCAAUUCCAAGAAUUUUUUUUAUUUGCUUAGUUUAAUUUGUUGUUGUUCAAUUGUUAUGAAGAUCUGUGAAUGUGUAUGAAUUAUUGAUUUUUGAUUUUUGUUGAACAAUGUGAAGUUGCUUGGUGUUUUAAGUUCUUGAUCCAAAGAAAGUUGCGUUGUUUCAUAAUGGCAUUGCCGUUUGUAGUGGUUGUUCGGAUUAUUGUGUCAUUUUAUUUAUGCACACCAAGUGUUUGAUGAGUUGCUUCUGAAAUGAAAUUCAUAUUUGUUUAUGCACACCAAGUGUUUGAUGACUUGCUUCUGAAAUGAAAUUGAACCAGAACCAUGGAGCAUGAUAUCAUAGUGGAUCCAGAGUACUCUCUUUCUUUCUCUUACAUGUGUUUGUGUGGGUUUUGGUAGAUUCCUUUGCUUUUUCAUAACAAAAACUAAAUUGGGUUUUCUGGGUUUGACAAAAAAGUGGUUUGGAAUCUGAUACUGAAGGUUUGAUCUUUCAGGAAAAUUAUAAAAAGGGUUCAAUUUAGUUUUGACAAAUGAUUGAGGGUUUUUUUGUGUGAUUGUAUUAGUGGUUUGUGAAUGAUUGAAGAGUGGAAAAUGGUUUUUGCAGAGCAGACUUUCAUUGUAUUAGAUAAGCAAUUGAUUGUGGGAGAGUUCAGCCAUGGAGAGCCUCAUGUGGAAGGUUAGCCAAAUAUACAGUCUUUCUUCACAAAAUUACCUUCUGAUUGGUUGCUGAGAAAAAUUAUGGAGACAUUCAAAUGAUUACUUAAGAACAGUUGGUUGGAUGAUUUUGGAUGAAAUCAUGAGAAGUGUUUAGUAAAUUUUGUUCUUAAUUUUACUAAGUUUUUGAGUUUUUUUUUCCUCUGCAAAUUUCGAUUAAAUUGCUUGCAAUUGAAUUAUUUUGUAAUUUUCUAUAAUACUCCCUGUAUAUUUAUUAUUUGUUUCAAAUAGCAGGUAAUCAGGUAUUGUAUUUUUUGAAAACUCCUAUUAAUUUUUUCAUGUUCUUCUUGUUUGGUGAGAAGAUUAGGGAUAAGCUCUGCACCCAAACUCAAGAGUGACCCAGCCUGUUUGCUCUGUUUUUGGAUUUCGUUUUUAAAUUUGAUAUUUUGUUUGCAGCCACUGGAAAGAGGCCGCAUGAAAAUUUCUCUUCUGGAGUUAAGAAGGAGUUGGGGAGGAUGAACAGAGGCUUGCCGUCCAAUUUAUUAAGUGCUUGCCGAAAGCCAUGAGAUUUUGAAAUAUCAAUUUCUCGCAUGCUUAUUAGCUUACAGAUUGCUUAUUAGCUUAUUCAUCUAAGAACCUAGGUAAUCCUUUUUUACUAUUGUGUCACUGCAUACAAUGUGCUAAUUUACACAACAAAGUCGUUCCCCACAUGUGUGAGGAUCUAUGCGUGCAACCUCAUUGGUUAAGCAGACCUUGUGCUCCAUUUUGUGAUACCAUGCACAAGCAAGAGAGUAAAGAGGAGUUUGAUUGCAUAAUUACUCAAAAAAAUAAGUGUAUUUAUUUUUAACUAUUCUGAAGUGAAAUCAGUGGUCAUCUACUAGUCCAGUUCAAUGUUGCCCGAGUUUACAAGGGAUGAUGCAACACUUAUAUGAUACUUUUCUUAUUGGCUGUAUGUGAAUCAUCAAUAUCUUAUGGAUUAAUAUGCUUACCAUUUCGUAUACAUAUGUUUUGAUUCAUGUUAAACUUUUUGUAUUAUUUUGUGUUUGUCAUUGGCAUGUGAAUUUGAAAACAUUCAUAGUUAUCCAUAGGACCUUGAGGGAGUAUGCAAUUAGUAUUCAUAUAGAUGGUUAUUCAUGUUAACAAUGAAAGCAUCUGGUUUAGGUUUGUCCUCAAAAUUUAUGCUUAGUUGUAAUAAUGCUUUUGCUUAGUUGUUCAUGUAAAAAUGGAACAUUUUUUUUUGUAUAUAUAUCAUUUUAUAUUCGUUUAAUGUUUGAACUUAUGCUUAUUAACUCGGUUAUUGGUAAGGCUCUUCUAGAGGCGGUGUUGGUGUGUAGAUGAUGAGGAAUUAGGCGAAGGCGGAAGACUAAAAGGUCUUAUAGAAGAAGAAGAAGCUCAGAAGUCUGAUACACCAAGCAACUCCAUCUGGAAGAGGAAGAAUCCAAAGGUAAAACCCUUCAAACUCUUCAAUUACGGUGUUCUUUAGUCGAUUGACUAGAACUUGAAAAACUAACGCAUGCAAAUAAUUUUUUGCGAAGGAACUGCAGUCCAGUGGCUACAUAAUUUUCUGUUAGUGUCCGAUUGGUCAAUAAAGGAUGCUUCUUUUUUGUUAUCAUGCAUGUUUAAGCUGUAAACAUCUGAAAAGCUGCUUAAUUGAAGUGAGAUUUCCAGUUUUUGAGCUCAAUUUCAUUUCUUAUAGACAAUUUUUUUCAAGAUUUCUGGAUUCCUUUUUGCUUCUUCUUUGUUAAAUUACUCAUCUGGAAGUUAAUUUUGUUCAAAUACCAAGUAUUGUUUUUCAAUUAAAGAUUUCUGGGUUUUUUUGUUGCUUCUUUUCUGUUAAAUUACUCAUCUAGAAGUUAAUUUUGUUCAAAAACUUACUGUUCUUCAAUUAAUCUUACAAGAAAGCAUAUGAGAACGUGGCACAUUAGGUGUUCGAUGAAAUGUGUCUGAGAAUCUGUCAGUAUGAUAUAUUAUAAUUCUGGAUCUCCUUUUCAGCUCUGGCCAUAGGUGCACGAAGGCGACAUGGUCCUGGUCGACGAUUCGGAAGCUCUGGCGAUUCGGACUGAGAAAGAGGUCAAUAACAACAAGGUAAUGGAAUUCAAUGUUUUGUGUUUGUUAUAGAGGCAUAUUUUCAAUAGUAUAUCAGAUAAUAAUUCUAGAUAGUCUGUCCAGAUAGCUUAGAUUGUGUUUCAUGAUGCAUAUGGCUGCAGCGGUUUUGGCUACUUUUUGGAUUGCUCAUUUUUUUUUUUUUGCUGCCCUUGGCUGGUACAAAGAUAUAUAAGAAGUACUAUCCUUCUAUCAACUUUUACUCAUGUCAAAUUUUGUACUCAUGCGCCAUUAGGUUAAAGUGCAUGUGCUUUGUUUUAUGUUGUAUUUUUUCAUCUAGGGGAUAAUGUUUUGUUGUUUGUCGCAAGGAAUAUUAAAACACAUCCACACCCUAUUUUGUCAAAUUGUUCUAAAGUAUCUCAUGCUGAUUUUAGAAUUCUCCUGACUUUCUAACUCAAAUCUGUGCCAAGAGAACCCAACUAAAGUGGUUUGCCGCUCCAUGUAUGAAGUAUUAGUGAAUUAUUUGUAAUUUUACGAAACGAAACAAAAAAAAUUGCGUUUUAAGCAUACAUAUUGAAAUUUAUGUUAUAAUUUUUUUGAUAAGAAACAGAGGUAAAUUAGAAUCAUACUAAUAUAGGUAUGCUGUAUACAUAACUUUGAUAGUACCAUAAGUUCAAAAUUAAUCUUUAGUGUCAUUAAAAAAAAUAAACAUAAAUUUGAUAGCACCAUAAAUUUGGGGUACUGUUAUAUUUAGUACAUGCAAUAUGAUGUUGUUCAGGUGUAUUUGUGAUUUUGAACGACACUAAAAAAAAUUAUGGGUUGUAGGAACCGCGGGUUAAGAAAAUGGGUCCAAAUUCAGAGCUGCAUUCGUCUUCCCUCAAAAUAAGAAAAAAAUGCUUCCUCAACUCCAUAUUUUGGAACCUCAGGUAUAUUUGUGUUCUAAAGCCUUUUACUUCUUCCGGUUUCUUCAGAGCUAUUAUUUUACCCAUAUAUGAUUUUUAAAGUGAAAGACUGGAUUUCAUAUGUCUGAGUAUUUAGGGUUUUGCACAAUGCAAACUUGAGCUUAUUGAUCCAAAUGGCUAAAACAGUGUACUCGACCAAUUUCAUAUCCUCUUGGGCUAAGGAGAGUAUAUUACUUGCCACUGAGGAACAUACUUCGUAUAAUAGCAAUGUGAUGGUGUGUGGCAUGAUUUAACCAAGGGAUAUUUUUGUGUAGUAAGAAAGCCAUAGCAUAGAGAGAGUCACGUUUUUGUUUUUUUUUUUGUUUUUUUUGUUUUUUGUUUUUGAAUUAGAUUAAUGUAGUGAUUAAGCAAUGAAAGCUGAGGACACACAAAUAACACAUGUAGUUGGGAAUUUGUGCGUUACAUGCAAAGCUCAUGGAAAGUAAGCUUUUGUACUGUGUCUAAUGACAUAAUCAAAGAGUUGUCCACCUAAUGUCGACUCUACAACGAUCGUCAACGAACAUUGUAGUCACAUACCGUGAGAGGAAUUUCAAAGUAAGUUGUUAAUGUCUGAACUAAGUCUAUGUUGAAAUUUCAAAGUAAAACAUUUAUUUCAUUGCUUCGUUUUUGGUAUAAAAAAUUAUUUAUUGUUGAGUAAGGACCCCUUUUUAUGGAUUGUUGACAUAUGUAAGAAAUUGUUUCUGUCCUAGCAUAUUAAUUUUGCUCAAUGCUAAUGCCAUAACUGAAAUUUUAUGUGUGAGCUACAUGUUUCUUAAGGAAACAGAACUUUUUUGGAAACCAUCUCUUUCUAAUCAAAGAUGUUUAGUUUCUUCCCACUCAUUGUAUAAUGUGUUUAUACGCCAGCUCACUUGAAUGUAUAUAAAAGCAAAACUGCUUAUCUUAUCAACCUCAUUCACUCAUGUAUCCCUCUGUUUGUUCAUAAUUGUGUUGAAUUUAUACAACUUAAAUGUAUUUUAUUCAUCCGAUUACGCCUGAAACAGCUGGUUCCCGCAGCAACUCAUGGGCAUAUUUUCUAGUAGAGGCUAUAAUUAACUGCAUCAAUCCAGUUUUCUUCCUCAAUAUUGAAAAAGGUUUGUCGAUAAAAAGUGCUUGUAUUUUGUAUCUGGUUAAUAGAACUGAAAAAUCGCGUUAAGUUGUUUUGAAAAUAACAUAAUUAAGUGCUCGAAUCUCUAGAAUUAUAACUAAAAUUUCAUAUAGUUGUUGCACUUGAUGCACUUUUUAUCAAUUAGUUGAGCAUAAUCUUAAUUUAGAAGAUUUGCAACCUCGAGAGAAUUAGUUUUGAAAAGGACACUUAAUUACGUCUAGAACACCUUGAGUGCUAGUCGGGCAACUCUGAGUUGGAGGGCCACUUCAUUGGCUUACAUUGUUAGUAAUUGAACUUGAGAAAUCAACAUCAAAUACUGGAGUUUCUACGUUCAAAUUUAGUGAACUGGCCCCAAUUCCUUACGGAAACACCAUUCAUGGCUACUAAAGCGCAGAGACUCCAGCAAAUAGACAAGGACUUAAAGAUUCCAUUAAAUAGACAAGGGAGUUGUAGUCAUCGGACCCUCGAUUCAUCAAUGGAUUAAGUCAUUCGGACUUCUUUGUCCACAAACUCCUCGGCGAAAACAAAACAGUAGCAUUCGGGUUAGACUGAUUGAUUUGAAGUUUUCUGUGGUCCUCAACGAGGGCUGCCGAGGUGGUCGGGCGGUUUUUGCCUUUGCAUACAUUCAACGAAACAGAGGAAUUACCAGUGAAGAAAAUUACCCAUACCAGAGUUUUGAUGGCACAUGUGAUAUGAACGAGGCAAAUGAGGCUGCUGCCCACAUAACUAGUUAUGCAGAGGUACCUCCCAACAGUGAAACCGAUCUACUCAAGGCUGUGUCCAUGCAACCAGUCUCCGUUUCCAUCCAUGCCUCACCAGCCUUUCAGCAUUAUUCAGGCGGGGUGUUCACCAGUGAUGAUUGUGGGACAAAAUUGAACCACAGCUGCAAUGGCAGUUUGCUGGAUUAUGCCUUUGAAUACAUAUAGCAAAACCGAGCAAGUGACAAAACGAGCAAGCUUCCCGGAUAACUGGUUAUGGAACAUGCCUUCCACAGUGAAAACGACCUAUUGAAGGCCGUGUCUCCAUGACGAGCCUUUCAGUUUCCUAAGGUGGGAUUUUCUCCAACGAUCGUGGGACAGAACUGAACCAUGCAUUUGCAACCAUCGGGUAAGGAGUGAAUAAAGACGGCACCAAUUAUUGGUUGCUCAAGAUGGGAUGGGAGGUGGGGUGAAGUGAGAAUGUCUAUAUGAAAAUUUGCAGAAACAUGCCAUUGUAUCUUGGUCGGCUGGCUAUGGAUUCUUCUUAUCAAACUAUCUAAACAAUAGAUAUAAUCAAAGGGUUGAGAGAUCAUCUCGACUUCACCUAACAAACCAAAACUACCAGGCUUCGCCUAAAGCCAAGAAAAUUUCUUGUAGUAGCUGAUCUAUACCAUUCAAUAAACUUUCGGGAUCUUAUAAAACAUUAUUGAAAACAGGAUAAUCUAUACAUUUCAUUUGAUAUUGAUAACCUAGAAUUAUACAGCUUUACCUUUGGGUGAUGAACCAUGGUUUCUUCACUGACGUAACCCAGUAUCGUACAGCUUCAUCUUUGGUGAUGGUUAUGCCUUCAAGCCACUAUGAUACCCCUAGUGAGUACAAUAUCGAUGAUAUAUACGGAUUUACCUUCAGACGGCGUUAGCACCAUUAUUGAGCAUUAUUUUACACGUACUUGUUUUACGAAUGUUUUCAUGGCAUGCUAGAGUUUUCAAAAAACCUAUUAUGUAGUAUUGUAUGUGUUUUCAAAACAGGGGGUUAGCAUGUUCAUAAAGAAAAUGGUUUUCUUAUUAUUAGUACUAUUAUUACAAAUUUUGCUCCACUCACUCUUUUGGUUUUGCACCCCCUUAAGAGUUAGAAUCGACGCACACGAUCCCAGCAUCAGGGCACGUCCACUUAGGUAUUUUCGAGUCUCCUUAGGGUAGGACUAGUUCCUCUAUUCGUACGUUAUUAUAAUAAUUCUUUCAUAUUAUUCUUGAUUAGUUGUAUGCUCUGAACACAAUUCUGAGUUGGUAUAUUUCUUUCUAAUUACAUAUUUUAAUUGUAUGCAUGUUUAAAAUGGCUUCGUCACCUUCGGAUGUCGGCCAGCACGUGCUUUGACGAAGGAAAAGCCAAGGGAGUCUUAGGGAGACGAGGGAUGAUAACCUAGGAUUCGCUCAACCAAGGGCAACGAUGCUCGCUCAUGUCGUUAAUCGUGGAUUCUCUCACACGACCAAGCCAAAUGCUUGAUUUUAGAAGGAUAAAUCACUCUCUUCAAAUGCACAAGGCAAAUACAAUUUUAAUUCAUUCAAGUCUGUCAUCCAAGGCUUUCUAGUACAAUAAUUAUAAGCGUUUACAAAUUAAUAGACUUUAAGUUUCUAUGACACCCUUACAACUCCCAAAACAACUUAACAAAUUCCUAAGUAAUUAAAAUACAUAACCUUUGUUAUUCCAAUGCAUAUUAAUGGUUUCAAAUUGUUUUCUCCAAGUCUACUUCCUGCACUACCCUGAUAUUUGGGGAUAUCGGGUCGGAGCAUGUCAAAAUAUGUGAUUGGAGACAUGUUUUUGUAGAGUGAGAUUAUGGUACUAGUCCAGCAAUCACCAUGAAGGUUUAGAAAAUCCAUUUCCUAAUCAUGCCAAGACAUUUUCUUUCAUUUCAUCUUCAACUUUCUCAAGCCAGGAAUCCACCACAGAUAGCUCUUUCAGCUUCAACUUUCUCAAGCUAGGAACCCACCACUUGUAUCAGAUUCCAAUCAAUUGAAACACGACAGGGUUGUUAUCUAUGACAAAAAGAAAUCCCUCGAAUCACAGGAUAAGACGCAAAAUGCACAUCCAGGACAUGCUGAACGUUUUCUAUAUAAAAUGGUUAUCAUGCUUGCUUCUUCACAUCCAGCUUGCCAAUCACUACUUGAAACAAAGCCAUUGUCGACACAGAGCGCCCUCUCAUCAACACUGGUGCUUUGUGAGCAAUGGCUUUCAAAAGAAACCUUUUGAUUGUUACCAUACUCAUCACCUUGGGGACCUUGGCAUCUGAAGCCACGUCCCGCACAUUGUACCAAGCUUCCAUUGCUGCAAAACAUGAGCAGUGGAUGAAAAAGCAUGGACGCGUUUACCAGGACAGCGUGGAGAAGGAAAGGCGUUUCCACAUAUUCAAAAACAAUGUGGAGUUUGUCGAAAAAUUCAACAGUGAAGGGAACAUGACUUACAGCCUAGGCAUCAACCGAUUUUCAGAUAUGACCUAUGACGAAUUCCUCAGGCAUUAUACAGGAUACAAGCAGCCCACUGAAUCAACCUCAUCCGCAGAUGCAUCAUUUACGUACGAAAACCUAAGCCCGACAGACGUUCCCCAAAGCAUUGACUGGAGGGAGAAUGGAGCUGUUACUCCAGUAAAAGAUCAAGGGCGCUGUGGUAAGAGCACCAACCACCAUAUUAAUAUAGGGCUAAGCUUCCUUGUACAUAUAUGUGUAUUACAUUAGUUACUUUCUUCGUGCAUUCAUUCCUACGGAAAUUAAUUCAUAUGCGUUUGUUCAAAAUACAUGCAGGUUGUUGCUGGGCAUUUUCUGCAGUGACAGCAGUCGAAGGGAUUAUCCAAAUCAAAACUGACAAAUUGAUCUCACUGUCUGAGCAACAACUUGUGAACUGUGAUACAGAUAACAAUGGCUGCCAAGGUGGUUGGAUGGUUAAUGCCUUUGCAUACAUUCAACGAAACAGAGGAAUUACCAGUGAAGAAAAUUACCCAUACCAGAGUCUAGAAGGAACAUGUGAUACGAACAAGGAAAAUGAGGCUGCUGCCCAGAUAACUAGUUAUGCAGAGGUACCUCCCAACAGUGAAACCGAUCUACUAAAGGCUGUGUCCAUGCAACCAGUCUCCGUUUCCAUCCAUGCCUCACCAGCCUUUCAGCAUUAUUCAGGUGGGGUGUUCACCGGUGAUGAUUGUGGGACAGAAUUGAACCACGCUGUUACCAUCAUUGGGUAUGGGACAACUGAAGAUGGCACCCCCCAUUGGUUAAUCAAGAAUUCAUGGUCCGAUACGUGGGGUGAGAAUGGCUACAUGAAGAUUCUUAGAAACGCUGAUGCCCCAGGUGGUGUUUGUGGCCUUGCUAUAAGACCUUUCUAUCCGACUAUGUAAUGUAUUAAUCAAAGGGUGGAGUGAGCUUCUCCACUUUGCCUAUAGGUUAUUAGUACUACAGACAAAACUCAUAGGCUGUGAAAAUGCCUGUAAUUUGUACUUUAUAUUCAACAAUGAAUUUUCCUACCCUGCUUAGGCUAAAUUAAUAACCACAGCUGCAACGGCAGUUUGCUGGAUUAUGCCUUUGAAUACAUAUAGCAAAACAGAGCAUGUGACAGAACGAGCACGCUUCCCAGAGAACUUAUGGAACAUGCCUUCCACAGUGAAAACGACCUAUUGAAGGCUGUGUCUCCAUGACGAGCCUUUCAGUUUCCUAAGUAGGGAUUUUCUCCAAUGAUCGUGGGACAGAACUGAACCACACAUUUGCAACCAGAAUUGUAUAGCUUUACCUUCGGGUGAUGGACCUUGGUUUGUUCACUGAUGUAACCCAGUGUCGUACAACUUCACCUUUGGUGAUAAUUAUGUCUUCGGGCCACUAUGAUACCCCUAGUGAGUACAAUAUCGAUGAUAUAUACAGAUUUACCUUUGGGCGGCGUUAGCACCAUUAUUGAGCAUUAUUUUACACGUACUUGUUUUACGAAUGUUUUCAUGGCAUGCUAGAGUUUUCAGAAACCUAUUAUGUAGUGUUAUAUGUGUUUUCAAAACAGGGGGUUAGUAUGUUCAUAAAGAAAAUGGUUUUCUUAUUAUUAGUAUUAUUAUUAUAAACUUUGGUCCACUCACUCUUUUGAUUUUGCACCCCCUUAGGAGUUAGAAUCGAGGCACCCGAUCCCGGCAUUAGGGCAUGUCCACUUAGGUAUCUUCGAGUCUUCUCAAGGUAGGACCCGUUCCUCUGUUUGUACCUUUUUAUAAUAAUUCUUUCAUAUUAUUCCUGAUUAGUUGUAUGCUCUGAACACGAUUCUGAGUUGGUAUUUCUUUCUAAUUACAUAUUUUAAUUGUAUGCAUGUUUAAAAUGGCUUCGUCACCUUCGGGUGUUGGUCAACACGUGCUUUAACGCAAGAAAAACCAAGGGAGUCUUAGGGAGACAGGGGAUGAUAACCUGUGAUUCGCUCAACCAGGGGCAACGGAGCUCACUCACGUUGCUAAUCGUGGAUUCUCUCACACAACCAAGCUAAAUGCUUGAUUUUAGAAGGAGAAAUCACUCUCUUCAAAUGCAUAGGGCAAUAAAAUUUUAAUUCAUUCAAGUCUGCCAUUCAAGGCUUUCUAGUACAAUAUUUAUAAGCGUUUACAAAUUAAUAGACUUUAAGUUUCUAUGACACCCUUACAACUCCCAAAAUAACUUAACAAAUUCCUAAGCAAUUAAAAUACAUAACCUUUGUUAUUCCAAUGCAUAUUAAUGGUUUCAAAUUGUUUUCUCCAAGUCUAUUUCCUGCAUCAUGCUUACCCUGAUAUUUGGAAAUAUCGGAUCGGAGCGUGUCAAAAUAUGUGAUUGGAGACAUGUUUUUGUAGAUUGAGAUGAAUGGUACUAGUCCAGCAAUGACCAUCAAAUCUCAAAUCUUUCUUCCAAAAAACAUGUUUUUGUAGAGUGAGAUUAAUGGUACUAGUCCAGCAAUCAUCAUUCAACAGGCCCAGAAAAAAAGUCUCACGGGCUGAAACAAAGCCCAAAAUGCAGCAUCAAAUCUUUCUUCCAACUUUGCCCGUAACAAAAGUUAACCAAAAUUAGUUAAAACAACUUCAUUUUAUUUACAAAAUUACCACCCAGCUUAAAAAGUCAAAUAAAAUCAAAAUUAGUUUAAUUUUCUAUUUUUUUUAUAAAACAAACGUUGCAACCACCCAUAUCAUGACACUUUUUUUAUUCCCAAUUUGAUAAUAUUAUGUUAAUAUUUGCUCCAAAGCAGGCAACCCACUUUUGUUCUUGAAAAUAACUAGAACAAAAUAACCAUUCACUAGACCCUAACUGCCAUAGUUUUGUAAUUAACUUUUUUUAUUUACAGGUCGUGUUUAACAUUCUUUAGGAAUAAAAAUUGCUAUGUUGUUUCUUCCAAAUAUUUAUUCACCUUUGACCCAACCAAAAAAAAUAUUUCGUAAUAACUCAAUAGCUUAAACGUAUUCAAAUGGCUAAUUUCAGUGAUGUCUUCCAAAGACACCUUUACAAACUCAACCAUAGCAAAAACGGAUAGCAAAGUAAAUGACAUCAACACAAAUUUUAUGCAAAACAACUAUGAAGUGCAGGCUGCAAUUUGCAACCACUAGAUCAAUUCCAACCAUUUCUAACACAAAAAAUUAUUAUGGUUGCAAGCAACCAUUUCUUAUUCGACAAUUUGAAAACUUUUACAUACACCGUACUUUUAUCCAAAAGUGUUACAUCACUUCAAAACUAUUGGAGCAAUGCUUUCCGUUUUUAAAAUUUAAACCAAAGCUAGUCUAUAAUAUAAAUCAUUUACAGUUAACAAUUACAUGCAUAACUACUAAAUGUAAGAAAUGACAGACCACCAACUCAAGAUAUCGUAUCGCUUACUCAAAUAAUUUUCCCUCUAGCCUUGCAGUGAGGCCUUGUUUAUGGAGUCUAUGUUAUGCUCAUACAAAGAAUAAAUUUACCAUUUAAGAUCUACAACUUCCAAUGACAGAUGUGACAAAAGCUUUCACUUCUUCCUUAUGUGUCAUGGUCAACUCCACAAAUCUCUUUAUAUGGUUCCAAGUAGGGGUGGGUUCGGUUCAAAUCGGUUCGGUUUUUUGCCAAAACCAAAACCUAACCGAAAUUUUGGUUCGGUUCAAUUUUUUUCGGUUCGGUUUUUUUUUGGUUUGGUUUUUUCCGGUUCGGUUUCAGUUUUUUUUCAAAAAAUGAAAAAUUUUGAAAUCUUAAAUUUUAACAUAUCCAACACAAUCAUAACAUAAAUAUUCUGACUAGACUUAAAGAUAAUGAAAAUAAACAUUUAAAGUUCAACUAGAAUUAUAACAUAAAGGUUUUUUUUUAAUAUUUUAGGUUUAAAGUUUAACUGUAAAUAAAUUUCUUUUUAGACGAUGAUGAUGGAGUACGACCUUAUUCAUUCCUCUCUUUCUCUCAAUCUCUCUCUCUCUCUCUCUCUCUCUCUCUCUCUCUCUCUCUAUAUAUAUACAUGUAUUCUUCACUAGCAAUAAGAUAAACAUUCUAUAAUAUACUAUUUAUUUUGAUUAUUGUCUAGGUAACAAUUUUUUAUAUUUUCUUUAUCUUUAUGGUCCGAAUUUUUUUUAUCCAUAUAUGUGGUUACAUAAUAUAAUUUCUCUGUGUUCAGCUUCUACCACCAGCAAAUUUUGAAGAGGUGUUCAUCAAUAUUUUUAAUAUAUUGAUAUACUUUUCAAAGUUGUUAGGCCACGGAAGCUACUAUACUUGGCCAUAGGUGAGAAAGUUUGAAUUUUGUUUUUGAUCUCGUAGUGUUUAAUAAACUCAUGAGACUUUUAUACGAUGUUUGCUUUCCCUAAUCAACUGCAGUGCAGUUGAGAUAUGUGUUCUUAUAUAUGUGUUGCACUUAAUGAUAUAAACUAGAAAUAUUGCAUGUAAUGGUAUAAGUUCUAAUUUUUGUUGUAGAUGGAGAAGCUGAGAAGACAACUUGAAUUGGAAAGCAAACAAGUCCUACCAAAGCAGCAGUCUGAAGUAUCAUAUUCUAAUAUAAUAAAAUCAAAUAAUUAAAUAAAUAAAAUUAAAAAAAUAUUAAUUUAAUUAUUUUGGUUCGGUUUCUAGACCACCAAAACCGAACCGAACCAAAAGAGUUUGGUUCGGUUCGGUUUUUUCGUUCGGUUCGGUUUUUUCUAUUUCGGUUCGGUUCGGUUUUCAGUUUUUUGAACCCACCCCUAGUUCCAAGGUUCCUUAGCCUCCCAUUUACAUUAUUUUUGGAAAUGAAUACUAACUAUUCCUAUAACCGAACAAAUGCACUGUCAUUAUUUCGUAAACUGAACAAUUACUAUUUCUAGAAUUGAACACGGGUACCAUAACUAUUUCUUCAAUAGUGUGGAUUAUUUUGCUGUAUUUCUACAAAUAGUGUUUAUUUUGUUAACUUCAAGAAAUAGUGUGGAUAUUUUUGUUCACUUCCAAAAAUAAUGUGGAUUAUUUUGGGUUCAGUUUCAGAAAUAGUGUGAGUUAUUUUGGUGAGAUUCCAAAAAAAAGUGUGAGUUAUUUUGAUCCAAUUUCAAAAAUAGUGUGGAAUAUUUUGGUUCAAUUUCAAAAAUAGUGUAAUUUUUCUGUAGUUCCAGAAAUAGUGUGAGUUAUUUAUUUUGGUUCAGUUUCAUAAAUAUUGUGGGUUAUUUUGGUGCAGUUUCAUAAAUAGUAUGAAUUAUUUUUGUUUAGUUUCAGAAAUAGUGUGAAUUAUUUUGGCUUAGUUUCAUAAAUAGUGUGAGUUAUUUUGUUAAGUUCCAGAAAUAGUGUUUAUUUUGUUCCCUUCCAAAAAUAAUGCGGGUAAUUUUGCUAUAAUUCCAAAACUAUUAUCGGUUAUUUUGGUUUAGUUUCAAGAAUAAUGUUUGUUAUUUUGUUGUAGUUUCAGAAACAAUGUUUAUUUUGUUCAUUUUCAUAAAUAGUGUAAGUUAUUUUUGUUCAAUUUCAUAAAUAGUGUAGAUUAUUUUGCUGUAGUUCAAAAAAUAGUGUUUUUUUUUUGUUUUCUUCCAAAAAUAGUGUGCUAUUUCUUAAAUUGAACAAAGUUUUCCAACUUUUAAGAGCUGAAACUAGCAUUAGUAGAUUCAAAAGUACGAAACUCUGCAAACAAAUCAAAUUUACAUAUAAAAAGUUAUAUUUUGUUUAACAUCGUCCAAAUAAUUGCUAAAAAACAUGGUGACCAUCAAGAUCUAACAUCAAAUAAUUCCACAACUUGGUAAGGAAAUAGAAUUCCCUAUUAGUCAAGGACGAUUGUAGUUAUACAAUUUAAGAUAAUUUCCUUCCAUCCACAAAAGAUGUACAACUAAUAAUACCAAAGCAUUAUAUACCAAAAAUGUAUAUUCUCACUGAAGAAUUCCUCAAUGAUAGGAAGCCCACCAUUAAAACCUACGUGUGGUACACCAAAGCGUAAGUCGAAGAAAAAUGCCCUCAAGUAUGAUUAGAGAGAGAGAGAGAGAGAGAGAGAGAGAGAGAGAGAGAGAGAGAGAGAGACAGAGAGAGAGAGAGAGAGAGUGAGUGAGAGGGUGUGAGAGACAUACUUCUUGAAUCACACAAUGUUCAAUCAAUAUCAAAUAGAAAUGCUUGUCUAGAAGCGACACAAGCUAGAGAAGAUUUUUGUCUUCACAUAAUGGAAGGUGAUUAUAGCAAGCACUCAAGUGACAAAUAUUGAAAGUAUAAAGAACAUGACGAAACUAAGAUGCUAUGUCUAGUGGCUUGACCCAAUGAAACACAAUUGUUUGUUCUAAAGUAAAUAUACUUCCUGUUAACAUAUAUUACAGUUAAAAAUCCUGAAAUGCGAUAAGAUACCAUACCUUUCUUGUCAAUUUUGGUGAGUCUUAACAUUUCACAAAAUGCAUUACAAAAAUUUCUUAAUAAAACUAUAAAUAUUAUAGGACACAGAAAAUUAUCGUAGUGCAAAGAAAGAUUAUACGCUCUUGACCCUUGUCCUGCUUAAUGUUUUCUCGAGUUUAAGCUAUACUGAGUUGGCAAUGUAAAACUAAUAACAAGUAACCAGAAGAUAAAUAACUUUUCGAACUUAUCACUGUGACAUAGAUUUGUGAUCAAAAUUCCUCCUAGUCCAAGACCAAAGCCUGAAGGGGUUGAAUACUUUGAACUAAUAAGAAUGAACAUAUUUGUUAAGGUAGGAUAAGGAUCAAACGUAUUAAAUUGUCCAUUGUAUCAACCAUUCAUCCACAAGCCUACCAUUUGAACUCCAAAAUAAUUUCACUUAUCUUGUCAACCAUUGGAUAUCAAUUACCUUUUAAAUGCUUAGACAGACACCAUCCCCCAGUCCAAACCACAACAAAAGGGAAAAAGAAAGGUUUUAGUUACAUAGUUCAAACACGAAAAGCAUUAAAGGUCUACAAUUACAGGUCAACCGAUGUCUCAGAAAACUAUGAUCAGGCACCUAAAUGUAGGUGAGGCAAUACGAGUCGCUCAGGAAAAGGCUGAUGCAACCUGCUUAGCUAAGCAAUUUGCCAACAAUCCUAAAAAUGUAAAAACGUUUGAUGAUUUUGUUUGCUUGUUUGUUCAGAAUCAAGAUUAAAAUUCCUAAGAACAAUGCAAUGCUAUUCUCAAAUACAACUUCCUGUAAUGAAAUUUGAAAACCACAAACCCCAACUCCACUCAUUCCAUCCAGAACACAUCAAAUAUAGUAUUAUAAUUUAAUCGAGUUAAAACUCAUUAGGGAUAGAUCAACAUUCACAAAGAUAGAAUCCCACGUCAACAAUGAAAAGAGGUCAAACCAUAUGGGAAUUGGAUGAUUGCGUUAAACUAUUUAAGAUGAAUAUGUACUAGAAAAGUAACUAAAAGAAAUUUUAAGAGAUAAUUAGAUAAUAAAAACUCAUCCCUCAUAUUAAAAAGGAGGUGCCAAAUGAAGCACCUAACAAAUUGAAAAGCAAAAAGCAUGAAGAAAUAGCUCUGACCAUUUGUUCAAGCUCUUGACCUCCUCGUUUGUCACUUGCCCUCCAAGCCCAGCAGCUCCAGCUUCCGGUUGCCGUGGUCUUCACCUUCAUCAUUAAUUCGAUUGCAAAAAUUCAAUAACAAAAAAAAAAAAAAAAAACCGUGAAUUGAAAUCAGGAACAAAAUCAGAAAUAUGCAAAUACUUUAAACAAGAAACCUAAACGAGAAGAGAGCGUACUAUUUGAGGAGAAACUGAGCUCUAGAGCCUCGACACUGAGCCGCUUGCCCGUGCUUAUCGGAUUCGAUGAUUCAAUUUAUUUGUGAAUUGGUGGAAUUCGAAUUGAAAAUGAAAAAGAGAUUGGGUGGGGAGAGAGAGAGAGAGAGAGAGGAGAGAGAGAGAGAGAGAGAGAGAGAGAGAGAGAGAGAGAUUGCAACAAUGGAGGAAGUGAGAUUGAAUUGGAAAUAAAAGCAAUAGCAGAGAAUAGAUGGAGGAGGAUCGAGAAAGUGAGAGAAACAAGUUUACGUCACCGUAAUGAAAAUAUGAGGAAUUGAAUUGAGGAGGAGUUGGAAUGAGAAGAAGUCAAAAUCGGAUUUCUGUUGAAACUGUUUACUUAAAUGUUCUGGAAUCGAAAUAGAAUUUCAUAAAGUUGUUUACUAAUUCAACAUAAUCAGAAUAUAAACCAAUAUGAUUACUAAAAUACCCUUGUUCCAAAUCAAAUAUGUAUUAAUGCUAGCCAAGAUAGUGUAAGCCACCAUGAUUUGCGUAUAUUGUUUAUAACCUACUCUUUGUGCUCGAUGGUACUUGAGCUAUGCUUGAUGUUACUUGAGCUAUGCUUAGGCGUGCUCAUUUUGUUCUUAGGAUUGUGUAUGUCAUGAACAGUAUGAAAUUCCAUAUGGUGGAAUGAUACAGUUUUAUAAAUGUGUUAGACAACAUAAUAACUAUUGAGCUUGUGUUUCAGAGAGUGUACUGAUGAAAAUUUUCCAUAUCUUUGGUGGUAUCAGGGCAGUCUCAGCCACCAUGCCACAUUUCAGUGUUUCUUGAAGUUACUGAUUCACGGAAUACUUCCAAUGACUAGAGUAGCACAUGCAACAAAUAUAGUUCGAAGAUAGACAAUCAACACAUUCAACGCAGCUUGUAAUUUCUUCUUUGUGGACAAACUUAGAUGAGCCAUUAGUCUACACAAAAUAAUGAAGAAAAAAAAUUUCAUGAAGGACUUCAAUUAACAAGUUAACAAACAUAUCAGCAAACUGAAAUAAAUUAACAUUACAGAACACAAUCAAUCACAAAAAUUUAUAUUUUUUUUCCUCCAUACCUAGUCUCACAAUUAACGGAUAAAUAACAACAUAAAUCAUAGUAUACCUGCUGUUGGAAAUUUUGAGUAGUUUGAGUAGAAAUUUCUUUGUUCCACAUUGACCAUUCCCAAAAGAUUUUAUCACUUUAUAAGGCUUUGUCCUUUAUAGAAAGUGAUUGGAGUAAUAGGCCUGGAGACUAAAAUUGGGCUCACCCGUGGGGUUGGGUUUAGGGGUGUAUUAAUUAAUUGAUAAUUAAUAUAUAAUUAAUAUAUAUUUAAUUGUCAAAAGAUGGGCCUUGGGCCUUCUUGGGCUCUAAUAAUUAAAUUAAUUAAUUAUUUUUAAUUUCAAAUUUAAAUUAAUUAAUUAUUUUUACCAACAGACUCAUCUUUUCAGAUGAAGUCUGAAGUGUGAGAAUGCAGAAACAAAAACACAAUUUUCAGCAAAUGUCUCCCAACAGAUGCAUCCCUUCCUCAUACCUGUUGUGAACAGGUAUAAUCACAUUAUAUAUACAUCCAUCUGCAUGGCAUUUAGAAUACAGAAAAUAAUCAACUUCAUCUUCUAGAUUCCUAAACCUUCUUACUGAGAGAACCACACUAAAUUCGCCAGAAGUUAAAUUUUCCGGUGCUGGAAUUUUAAUUUGAUCGUUGAAUCCUGGUGAAGCAGACGUCCGUAGAACUACAAGCAUAGAGUAGGGACGAAAUUUCUGUUUCAAGGACAUUGCGAUACGCAAGCCUCGAUCUUCAAGUUGUCUGUUUUACAAUUCAUAUUCUAGUUUAUAUUCUAUUAAUUCCUAUUGCAUUCAUUAUUUAUUAGCAUAUAUAAAUUAUCACAGAUUGUUGACUUAUAUCCAACACCUGCAACCAGUGAAGAAAGCUCAACCCACAACCUUGUCCUCACUCUUCCUAAUUUCAUAAAGAUGAUGAAUAUUUAAUUAAUAAACAUUUGUGAGCAUAAAGAAUUAGGGAUAAAGUACUCUUCCUAAACAAUACAACAUUUCAAACAUCAAAACAAAUCAGGCCCACUUCACAAAUCCAAAAACCAAUAACAAAGUUUCCAACUUAUUGAAAUUCGUAAAAAAACUUAUCAAUCCCACGCCCUCCUCUCUCUCUCUCUCUCUCUCUCUCUCUCUCUCUCUCUCUCUCUCUCUCUCUCUCUCUUCCAUCGAACCCCACCUGAAAAAAUCAAGACUCAUCAAUCCAUCAUCAUCUCAUUCCUCACCACCUUCAUUAUUCAGACCCCACCACCUCAAAUCCCUACAACUCAGACCCCACCACCUCAAAUCCCUACAACCAGAGCAAAUCACUAGCCGUUUUUCAUCGCUACUCAAGCAGAAGUCAUGGGGGUAUGCAAGCUAGUCUUUUUUUUGCCCUUUAAUUUAGUUAUUGAAUUUGUAUCAAUGUAUGUAUGCGUAUGGUUCUGUGUUUGAUCUGAGACUGAGUUUUGUUUGUGGAGCAAUUCGAUUCGUUUCCAGCAACAGCUUGGUGGUGGAGUUGAAAUUGAAGAACUAGUCGGCAGGAAUCAAUUCAGCCUCUCUCUCUCUCUCUAACAAGUGAAGUGAAGUGAAGGAAGCAAUGAAAGAUUCAGCAGGAUGCAAGGAAACACAAUUAAUGGAAAAUCUUUCAUUUAUUUUCUAUCAGAGGUCAGAGUCUUCGUCCAGAAACUCAUUUACCCGUGUUGUUCAAAGCAAAAAAUUCAAUAUAGAGAUAAAAACGCAGAAGAAGUAGGGAUUUACCUGUCCGUAAUUGUGACGAGAGCUGCGGCUCAAAGGAGAGAAAGGCAUGCGUCUGAGAGAAGAGAGAAAGGAUCUAUGUGAAAAGGAAAUAGUCUAGGGUUAAAAGGAUAAUCUUGGAAGUAAUGAAAAUAAGUGAGGGUAUAAAGGAAAAAAAAUUAACAUUCUAAUUGCCCCAAGCCAUCCGGUAUCCAAAUACCUCAUUUAUGUUGGGAAUCCAAAUCAGCCAAAUAUUGAAAUUGGAUUCCGAAAUUUGUGUGGAACCCACUAAAUUUUGAUUCAUCUAGAUUUGGUAAACACUAGGGUAUGCCGUAAUCGGAAAGGCGUUUCACCAUAUUCAAGAGCAACGUCGAGUAUGUGGAGAAAUUCAAUCGUGAUGAAAAUAACACAUACAAGUUAGGACUCAAUGAAUUUGCUGAUUUGAGCUACGAUGAUUUCGUUUGACAAUAUGCUGGAUACAUAAAGCCCACUGAACAUACAUCAUCCGCAGAUGUAUCUUUUAGGUACGAGGGCUUAGGCGGUCCUGACUCCUAAUGUUCCCCUUAGCAUCGACUGGAGGAUUCAUGGAGCCGUCACCACCGUAAAGAAUCAAGGACCCUGUGGUAAGAGUCUAAGAGAUCAACUUUAAAUGCUUUAUGUUGAGACAUAUAUUUUCACAAACAAAAUAUAUUAGCAAGUCUUAUUAAAAACAGGGAGACUUCAAAAAAUAAUAAUAAUAAUAAUAGAGUCCAAAAUGGCGGACUGACUAGAAAUAAGGCUCACAUUAUGUGUGUGUGUGUAUAUAUUCUUAUAUAUACUAUAUUUAUAUAUAUAAGAAACAAAGAGAGGAAAAAAAAUCCCGCACACGUGGACCUCAACAUAUGCCAAGUCUAAAGGAGUUUGUCAUCUACAUGGCAACCGGGUAUAGAGAUCUUGUGUGUCUAGAACCCUUUAAAAGCUUCCACGUUCUCCACUUAAGUGGUGGUUUUGUCUCAGCAUCUCCACACCCCAGAAAAGUAGCAUCCCACUAACUUCAACUGUCAUGUCCACUGUUCGCCUAUAAAAAGGCAUCGAACCAAAGAAAAGGGGGAAGAAAAAACAAGAGGGGGUAUGCUGCAAAAAUUGAAAGAGGAAUUGAGAAAAAGAAGAGGUACUCUACAGAAAUUGGGAGAGAAAUUGAGAGAGAAAUCCGAACCAAGUCUUUCAAGGAAGGAGAACGAACAACUAACAACCACCAGAAGGUACAAAACCUAUGUUUCUCUUCUCUUCAUUUUCUUUCCAGAAAUUUUGUUUUGCAAGUAGGUGUUUUCUUGAGUAAACUUUGGUAAGCAAAGAAUCUAUAUGCUAGCAACCCUACGUUCUUUUAUACCUGCAACAACAACACGAAGCAGUCCAAAAAUGGGAACAACCACAUGUUUUCUUUCUGCCUAAAUUUGAAGAGAACAAAAACACACAAGAGCUCUGCUCCCCGCCGCUGCUGUCAAUCCCAUGAAUUUCUUCGGGGUGGUCUAAACCACCCCAUGAAGUUCCAAUCAAAUCCAAGACGCUGCAAUGGCUCUAGCACCACCGUCGUUGUGUCUUCAUCGUCAUCAACGCCCUACAACCUGCGAGCAUGUGUCAAGGUCAAACAGCCGUGGUCGCAUCUGAUAAUAGUAUAUAAAGCAAGCUUAACAGCUUGUGAUCGUGUGGUUGUAAUAGUGACAAGUGUAGUCAUCCUGUAAUCCUUGUAAUAGCUUAGAAAGUAAGCAAUCUAGUUAGAUAUAUACUCUACAUAACUAUCAUUGUAAUUAAUCAGAAAAACAGUCAAGUAAUAAAAAAUAUCUUCUCUGUCUGAAAUUUUCUUUCUCUCUCUUCGAAUACUUAUUUCUUCUUCUGCAAGAAUACACCUUCUUUGUAUCUGUUGCUAUCUUUACGUGGUAUCAUUCGCCGGAAAAGCUUCGUGCUUGACGGUUAAUUGAUCUUGGUUAUUUUGCUUCUGCUCUGUGUCUUCCAUCUCUCGAUUUUUUAGGGCUCUAAUUUCCCUCUUCUUCUCUGGUUCUCGGUGUUUGAAAUAUUGCAUACCAGGUGUUUGAUCUUUUACCUCAGUGACAUCUUCUUCGAAUUCUUGAUUCAUAUUGGAUCAUGGUGACUGCUACGCAAUUGCAGAUUCUUCAAUCUCCUAUUACCUCUCUCAUCUCAUCAGUUUCCUCCUCUGUUUCUGUGAAACUUGAUGACUCCAAUUACCUCACAUGGCAUUUUCAGAUAGAGCUUCUUCUCGAAGGCCAUGGUAUUAUAGGGUUUGUAGAUAGUACAAACCCUUGUCCUUCGACCCUGAUCGAUUCAACUGAGUCUUCCAGUGAUUUGCAUAACAGUGAUGCUUUUAAGAUUUGGAAAAUGCAGGAUCGGGCUCUCAUGCAACUCAUCACUGCCACAUUAUCUCCUUCUGCAAUUUCGUGUGCUAUCGGUAGCACUAGUGCUCGAGACUUAUGGGUGCGUCUUAAAGAAUAAUUUUCAAUUGUUACUUGGGCCAUAAUCUUUUAGAUGAAAUCUGAGUUGCAAAAUAUCAAGAAAGGUACAGAUUCCAUUUCCUUAUAUCUUCAACGAAUUAAAGAAGCUCGUGAUUACUUAGUUGCUGCUGGUGUUCUGUUUGCAGAUGAUGAUAUUGUGAUUUUAACUCUUAAUGGUCUGUCUUCUGAAUACAAUACAUUGAGAUCUAUUAUUAGAGGUAGGGAGAAUGUUAUCUCUAUGAAGGAUCUUCGCUCACAAUUGUUUGCUGAAGAAACAAUGCUUGCUAAUGUUCUUGUUACUAUUUUCCUAUCUGCAAUGGUAGCUAGCAAUUUGUCUGCUUCAUCUAAGUCUCCUCACUUUGAGGCCAAUUUGACUCAUGAUAAUUACUCCAGCAAUGGUCAUCCCUUAAAUGGCGGGUCAUAUGGUUCUCAGGGAAGUUUUUAUCAGUCCAAUGGGUCUGGUUCCAAAUCUACUUACAACAAAAACAAGGGUAAAGGCAAGUAUCACUACAAUUCCCGGUUUGGUAAUGCAAAGUCUGGUUCUUUUCAUAACAAUGCUCCUGGUAUUCUUGGUACCUCUCCACCAAAGGCACAAGGGUUUUUCCAAACUCCAUGUCAAAUUUGUGGAAAAUUUGGACAUCUAGCUGUUACUUGCCGGUUUCAAAAUACUGAGAACCCUAUUACAGAAGGUUGUCAAAUAUGUGGAAAAAGGAAUCACAGUGCUCAUUUCUGUCAUUUUCGAAAUGCCAACCUACAAACUCAGCAAGUGUCAGCUAUGCAUGUUGCCGCUCCAUCAUCUGUUCCAAGUGCUCUUCCCUAACAGAUUUGGCUUAUAGAUUCUGGGGCUACAUCUCACAUGACUGUUGACCUUAAUCAGUUGUCAUUGGCCUCUCCAUUUCCUUCCAAUGAGACAAUUCAAACUACUGGUGGUGGUGCAGGUUUAUCAAUUUCCCACAUUGGUUCAUCAAUUCUACAUACACCUUUCAAACCACUGCAUCUUAAUUCAGUUCUAUAUGUGCCUAAACUAACUCAGAAUUUGUUAUCUGUGCAUAAAUUGCGUCUGGAUAAUAACUGCUGGUUAAUAUAUGAUGUUUUGUGUUUUUGGAUCCAGGACAAAGCCACAUGGAGGAUACUUUUCAACGGACAUUGCAGUAAUGGAUUAUAUCCUAUUCCACUACCAGUUUCAUAUCACUCUCCUUUACCCAGAGUACAAGCUGCUUUCCUUGGAAAACAUGUAUCUUUGAGUCUAUGGCAUAGUAGAUUAGGCCACCCAUCCAAUUCUAUAGUAUCUGCCAUAUUACGAAAAUGCAAUGUAUCUGAUAUACUUGAUCAUAAGUCUGUGAUGUGUCACUCUUGUCUAGAAGGGAAAUUUUGUAAAUUACCAUUUGUUGACCUUGUCUCUAAGUCCCUGCAUCCUUUGAUAUUAUUCAUAGUGAUGUAUGAGGUCCUUCCCUUUGUAAUUCUGUGGAGGGUUUUAGAUACUAUGUGACAUUCAUUGAUGAAUGCACUAGACAUUGUUGGCUCUUUCCUCUCUUCAAUAAAAGUGAUGUUUGUUCAACUUCCAUUGCCUUUUACAAUUUUGUGUUAAAUCACUUUGCUAUUUCUGUUAAAACCUUACAAAGUGAUGGGGGAGGUGAAUAUAUUAGCAAGUCAUUUCAACAAUUUCUUGUGACCAAGGGUAUUAAACACCAACUUUCAUGUCCAUACACCCCUAAACAAAAUGGCCUAGCUGAAAGGAAGCAUAGACAUAUUGUUGAAACAGCUAUAACCCUUUUGCAAACUGCCUCAUUGCCUCCAAAAUUCUGGUCAUUUGCAUGCCAAGUUGCUGUCUACCUUAUUAACAGAAUGCCAACACCUGUUUUACACAACAAAUCCCCAUUUGAGUUGUUGUUUAAAGAUGUACCAGCUAUCAAUCAUCUUCGGGUAUUUGGUUGUUCUUGUUUCCCACUGUUAAAACCUUACAAUAACACCAAGUUGCAACCUAAAACAACAAAAUGUGUCUUUUUAGGCUAUGCUUCCAGAUACAAAGGCUACCUAUGCUAUGAAGUGAGUCAACAAAAUAUGUACAUAUCUAGGCAUGUUAUUUUUUAUGAGAGUGAAUUUCCUUAUGCCCUGUUGUCUUCCAAAAACUCAAAUUCAUCAUCUUUUACUCCUUCUAUUUUGUCAUCCUCUAUUUCAAUGCCUUCUGUCACACAUGAUAAUCAGGUUGUCUCUAUAUCAUCUGUAUCUAACUUACCUACACUUGAGUCAAUUCCUAACCCUCCACACCCUGAAUCCAUUACUGCAACAACAACAUAGUCUAUUCUUCCUUAUUCCCCUGUGGCUGCAGAAUUGUCCUCUGGUUCUAAUCAUCAUGAUCACAUUGAGCUUUCUUCAGAGUUUCACCCUGAGAGUUUGCAAGUGGUUCCUUCUCUCCCACCUAUGAAUACACAUGCCAUGCAGACAAGAUCCAAAAAUGGCAUCUUCAAGCCUAAAGUUUUUGUCUCAAAAAUUGGAGAUGACAAUCCAAUUGAUUUAACUCAGGUGGAACCAUCAACAUACAAGUCCGCUCUUAAAUCCUCAGUAUGGUGUGCAGCUAUGACAAAAGAGCUAUCGGUUUUGCAUUCUCAAGGAACUUGGUCCUUAGUUCCUCUUCCUGCAAACAAGAAUUUGGUAGGGUGUAAGUGGGUCUUCAAGAUUAAAAGAGAUGCAGAUGGGAACAUUUCUAGAUAUAAGGCAAGACUUGUUACUAAAGGUUUCAAUCAAGAAGAGGGUAUUGACUAUGGGGAGACUUUUAGUCCAGUUGUUAAACCUACAACUGUGAGGUUAGUUUUGGCUUUAGCUGCACAGUUUGGUUGGUCUUUAAGGCAACUUGAUGUGAAGAAUGCCUUUUUUCAUGGAAUUUUACAAGAAGGGGUUUAUAUGUCUCAACCUCUAAGUUUUGUCAACUCUCAACAGCCCUCUCAUGUUUGUAAGUUACAUAAAUCCUUAUAUGGCUUGAAACAAGCCCCAAGGGCUUGGAAUGAGAGGUUUACCAAUUUUUUGCUUUCUCUGGGUUUUCUUACAACGUAUUCAGACUCCUCAUUAUUUGUGAAACAUGUUGGAAAUUCUGUGGUCAUUCUAUUGCUAUUUAUGGAUGAUAUAAUCAUCACAGGCAGUGCUACUGCAGCUAUUACUGAUGUUAUACAGGCUUUAGCUCAAGAAUUUGAUAUUAAAGAUUUUGGACCACUCCAUUACUUCUUAGGGAUCCAAAUUACUCAUCAUUCUACUGGAUUAUUCCUCUCACAGUCUAAGUAUGUUACAGAUUUGCUUCACAAGACUGAUAUGGGUCUUUCAAAACCGUGCAAUACCCCUUGUCUGCCUUAUAACAGGUUACUUAAAGAUGAUGGAAAACCUUUUCAUAAUCCAGCAUUGUAUCGAAGUGUGGUGGGUGCUUUGCAAUAUCUUACAUUUACAAAACCAAACAUUGCUUUCUCCGUCCAUCAAGUAUGUCAGUUUAUGCACUGUCCCAUGGAGUCUCAUUUUAUAGCUGUGAAGAGAAUCCUCAGAUAUCUGAAAGCCACAAUGGAUUAUGGUGUUCAACUAAGCAAAGGGGAUUUAUGUUUACAUGCAUUCAAUGAUGCUGAUUGGGCUGGGGAUCCAAAUGACAGACGAUCUACUAUAGGUUUGGUGGUCUAUUUAGGGUCUAGUCCCAUAUCUUGGUCAUUCAAGAAACAAAAUACCGUUUCUAAGUCUUCAACUGAAGCUGAAUACCGAGCACUUUCAUCCAUAGCUACAGAGAUUGACUGGAUCACCUAACUUCUGCAGUUUAUUAGGAUUGAUGUCUCAUGUCCAGUCACUCUUUUCUGUGACAAUCUUUCUGCUAUAGCCUUGGCUUAUAAUCCAGUUAUGCAUCAAAGGACAAAGCACAUUGAAGUUGACAUUCAUUUUGUUCGAGAAAGGGUUGCCAAGAAGUUCCUUCAACUUCAGUUUGUUUCUUCCAAUGAACAAUUUGCCGAUAUUUUCACCAAAGGAUUGUCUACUCCAUUGUUUCAGACACAUUGUUGCAAUCUCAGGUUGAGCAAACCUCCUCCUGUGAUUGAGGGGGGAUGAUAACAGUAUAUAAAGCAAGCUUAACAGCUUGUGAUCGUGGUUGUAAUAGUGACAAGUGUAGUCAUCCUGUAAUCCUUGUAAUAGCUUAGAAAGUAAGCAAUCUAGUUAGAUAUAUACUCUACAUAACCCUCAUUGUAAUUAAUCAGAAAAACAAUCAAGUAUUAAAAAAUAUCUUCUCUGUCUAAAAUUCUCUUUCUCUGUCUACGAAUACUUAUUUCUUCUUCUGCAAGAAUACAUCUUCUCUGUAUCUGUUGGUAUCUUUACAGCAUCUUCAAGGACAAGCACGCUUCCCGUAUUCUUGAAUUGAUGGUGCUAUGCACAACGGUCUCGCUGAGAAAGAAAGCCACGAGAACUCUCAAGGAACAACUGUCAUCACAUCCGUAUAUCCGAGUCCAAAGUAGUUACGCCCCCAUCCUGCUCACUCCGCCAUCAACUACCACGUCCCUGAAAGCUCCGUGAGUGUCCCGGCACCAUGCUCUGUCUUUUCAAAAUUAAAGAUUUUUAGCACUGCAACAACCAACACCGCAACACCACCGCUCUUCAACCGUUGUCUUCGGCAAUCCUCCGGAAAAAGCCCAAGAGCAGUGUAAUCCGCAAUCCGAGGAUGGUGAACCAAGUGAUAUAGUUGGGCACGCGGGUUCAGACCAUCAAUAAAUUCGACAGAGGCUCGAAUAAGAAAGUGGCAACGGUGGUCAGUGUGAAGAAGUUAAAGAAGGCAACAUUUGCAUCACCACUUCUGAUGUCAAACGGAAGACAAAGCCAAGGACAGCACCAGCGACUUCAAUGCCGCCAUUACACAACCACUGCACAAAUCUGAGCAUGAUGAUCCAGGUGGCAAGCUCAUGGAUUCGUACGGACAAUUAUUGCCGUCAUUAAUCACGAACAACGAGAAAGAAGAUGCCACAUAAGAGUUCCUUUUGGGACCAAACAAGCAUCUCAUGGCAGCCAGGAGUUGCAGAAAAAGGGACAAUGCGCAUGGAUGCAUAGAAGGCUUGCUAGAAAUGAAUUGUUCUCUUUCUUUUGUUAAUCACCCUCAAUGUGAUGACAAUAUAAGGAUUAAUUAAAGGAAACCAAUAUAGCAUGGGGUUCGAAAAGUUUGUUUAAAGGUGAAAAUGAGGCUCCCAAAAAUUUACUGCACAAAGGGCUCCCUAUUUUCCUAUCGUUUCUAUGGAGUUCGUAGCAAGAACAAAGAGCAUUGUUGCCUUCCUCAUAUAAUGAUCGCUACUCUAAAUAUUAAAACACGUUGCUGCUUUUCGGUAUAAUUUUCUUAAAAGUCUCCAGAGCUUUCAUAAGUUCCAUGAAGAAAGGAAAUGCAAAUAGCACGUGAUGAAGAGCAAACAAAUGGGGAUGCCGUGCAUGCGAUUCCCUAGAAAAAUGGUCAAAAUAUUAUUAGAAAAUGGUGAAAAGAUGGCAAAUCAUGAUCAUCAUCACCAUGAGGAAAGCCACUUAUGUGGCAUUGAAAUUAAAGAGUUAAAAUAAAAAGGCCUUCCUCUUUGAUUUAAUGCACCAAAAGGCAAAGCCUUCCUUUAUCCUUUGUGCUUCUGCUGAGCACCGAAAUCACCACGUGGAAAGCAAGUAGACAACAAGUGGAUGUAAACAAAAAAGAAGCAUCCAAAUGCUACUGCCUUAAUAACUCAUAUGACUUAAAUAUUAAUCAUCUUUAUGACUAAGUCAUCAAUAUUAGUCAUCAUUAGCUUGCUGACAAAGUUGGAGAUAAGUUCGGGACAAAUGGGUUUAAAGUUUCAUUUAAGUGGGAUUGAAAGUUCAAAAGAAGAAUAUAUAAAAUAAAAUAAAAGGGGCUACUUUGAACAAAACCCUUGUGGGAUAAAUCCCGUGAAGGAAUCAGAGGAAAUAUUUUUUUAUUCCAAGCAUGAUUCUCUACAAAUUUGUCAAAAGAAAGAAGCUGCAAAGGAAAAGGGAAAAAACGAGUUUAAAACUCAAAAGGAAGAGAAAGAGCUUCAACCAAAAAUACAAAAGAGGCUUUUAUUACAUCGGAAGUAAAUAAAAAUUGUGGAUGUGGUCUUCUUUUCAGCACGUAAAGUCCUAUGUGACUUGAAAGAGUUCAAGCUGUCCCAAGUUCACAGAAAAGGAAAAUACUUGCUAUCAAACUUCCUUGGGAAAGGCACUCACGUGAAAAUCAAAAGGAAAAAGCCAUCUCAAAGACCCUUUUUUUUACCAGUUGUUGUGUGCUCUAUUACACUAGGAACUCAAGACUAUCAUAUUAUUUCACAAAGAAAUAAUGUGGAGGGAGGAUGCCUCACGUCUUUGGUAUGUGAAGAGGAGAUUAUGGUAAUCCCACAAGAAGACAAACACAAACAACCCUCAUUGACCACAAGGAAGAACAAUUAGGAGGAAACUACUUUGUAUAAUGACAAGUUCUUUUCAUACUUGUUGAAAGAAGAAAUGUGCAACUCAUGAUGACACUUUAUCUUUGGUUGCUGCUCCAUUCUUCAAAUGAUGUUUCGGAAAAAGAGGAAGAAAUAGUAUUGCUCACAUGGGUGUCACAGAGCAUGGCCCCCAGUAAGAAGUAUUUGGGCCAAAGUACAGAGGACGUCAAAAUGGCAUGUUCCAUGAAUCCAAAGUCACCAAAAAUAGCUUUUUGAAAAGUUCAAGUGGAGGAAAGGCAAAUUUAAGAAGUUUUGAAGCAUUAACAUCAAACCUAAAAGUGGUUGUGCUCCAUGAAGAGAAACAACAAAUCGUAAAGAAAAGCACCAUAGAAAUGCCCAAAUUCCAAAAUAGCAAAGUGAAUUGGAAGAAAGCUUCAUGAAGAAAAGUCAAUUGUUACUAGCAAGCCCCAGUGCAGUUUCUUCUUAAUCAAAACAAAAGGACUAGAUGACAAGCAUGAUUACAUGCCCGAUAAGAAGAGUUAGCAGCUAGCUACAAAAUCGAUUGCACCACAACAAGUCUUGAAGGGCACAAAGCCGUAUCAAAUCUUAAAUGGCACGAAGCCGCGUAUUGCUCCAAUGGUCCAAAGUCCUCGCCUGCAAGAGCCUAAAUUGCACAAGGCAUCAAAUGCUCCAAUGGCUUAAAGUCCUCACCCGCAUGAGCUAAAACUGCAAAAGGCAUCAAAUGCUCCAAUGGCUCAAAGUCCUCACCCGCACAAGCUAAAACUGCACAAAGCAUCAAACGCUCCAAUGGCUUAAAGUCCUCGCCCGCAUGAGCUAAAACUAUACAAGGCGUCAAAAGCUCAAAUGGUUUAAAGUCCUCGCCCGCACGAGCUAAAACUGCACAAGGCAUCAAACCCCAAUGAGCUAAAACUGCAUAAGGAACUACGAGUGGCUUGAUCCCUCAACGAGGGUACGUAGGCGAUCUAGGGCUCUACCUAGGUGCAGUCACAAAAUCAAAUAAACACCUAAAUCUCCAAGUUACGAUUUAUUCAUAUUAGAAUCAAAGGGUAUUCCUUUCCCAAAAGAAGGGUUGUAAUUAAUAGGCGCAUAGCCUAGAAUGGGUCGAACUUAAAUUAAUAAAACCCUCUUUGAAACAAUGAACGAGGGUGAAAUUGUGUUGAGUGAAUUAUUUGUUUACAUAUUGUGUACAAUUUUUGCUCAACACUUUAUUUUGUAUUACUAUCUUAAAUGUUUUUAUUCUUUCCUAAAUUACAAUACUGUCGAUAUUUAGUCCAUAUCUUACCAUGUAUCAAGUACACUAGAACACAUCACUAUUCCUCGGUUUUGUAGUAUGUAUUGACAUUCAUAAUUUGUGUUGUAUAUUGUAGGCUGUUGCUGGGCAUUCUCUGCAGUGGUAGUUUUGUAAGGGAUUAUCCAGAUCAGAACAGGUCACUUGAGAUCGAUCACUAUCCGAGCAGCAACUUGUGGACUGUUUCGGAGAUUACGGAAACAAGGGCUGCCGUGGUGAUACUAUGGUGACUACCUUUGAAGACAUACCGCAAAACCGAGGAAUUGCAAGCGAAGCAAAUUUGUCACAUCCCGGCCAGGGGCGGACCACUUCCCAGGCCCGCUCCACCACCGUAGCACGAUAUUGUCCGCUUUGGGCUUACCAUUCCCUCACGGUUUUGUUUUUAGGAACUCACGAGCAACUUCCCAAUGGGUCACCCAUCCUGGGAGUGCUCUGGCUCCCUUCUCGCUUAACUUUGGAGUUUCCUAUGGAACCCGAAGCCAGUGAGCUCCCAAAAAGCCUCGUGCUAGGUAAGGAUGAGAAUAUACAUUUAAGGAUCACACCCCUGGGCGAUGUGGGAUGUCACAAUCCACCCCCCUUAGGGGCCCGACGUCCUCGUCGGCACACUUCCGGCCAGGGAUUGGCUCUGAUACCAUUUGUCACAUCCCGGCUAGGGGCGGACCACUUCCCAGGCCCGCUCCACCACCGUAGCACGAUAUUGUCCGCUUUGGGCUUACCAUUCUCCCUCACGGUUUUGUUUUUGGGAACUCACGAGCAACUUCCCAGUGGGUCACCCAUCCUGGGAGUGCUCUGGCUCCCUUCUCGCUUAACUUCGGAGUUUCCUACGGAACCCGAAGCCAGUGAGCUCCCAAAAGGCCUCGUGCUAGGUAAGGAUGAGAAUAUACAUUUAAGGAUCACUCCCCUGGGCGAUGUGGGAUGUCACAAAAUUACCCAUACCAGGCUACUGAGGGAAUAUGCCACCCUAACAACUCAAAUUGGCACGCUUCCGGUGCAAGUAUAACUGGUUACGGAUUAGCUCCUUGCAACAGCGAAAGCGAUCUAAUUAAGGCCGUGUCCAUGCAACUAGUUUCAAUUAGCAUUCAUGUCACCUAGCAGGACUUUAGGUUUUACAAAAGCGGGGUCUUCACAGCUGUACAAGGUUGCAGGACAGUCCCAAACCAUGGUGUCACCAUCGUUGGCUACGGGAAUACUACAGAUGGCACCCAGUACUAGAUACUCAUGAAUGAAUGGCGUGAGAGCUGGGGCGAAAAUGGCUACAUGAGAAUUCUUAGAGAUGCUGGCCCUCCUGAAGGUCUUUGUGGCCUUGCUACAACGACUUCCUACCCAAUUAUAGAUUGAUCGUCUCGGCUUCGAAGGCUACAAUUAAGUGCGUAAAUCUAAUUUUCUUAUCAAUAUUGAGAAAGCUCUGUCGAUAAAAAGGGCUUGUAUUUUGUGUCUAAUUAGCAUAACUGAAGACGGCAUCAAGUUGUUUUGAAAAGAUUAUAAUUAAGGGUGUGGAUCUAAUUUUCUUUUCAUUUAGGUGUGCAGAGUUUUAUCUCAAAAUACCUCAAUUCUCUAGACUUAAAAUUUUAGAUAGUUCUUGCACUUGAUGAAGUUGAAACUUGAUAUACAUUAGAGCAAUUUUUAUCAAUUAGUUGAGCAUAAAAUUAAUUGAGAAGAUUUGCAACCUCAAGAGAAUUAGUUUUGAAAAGGACGCUUAGUUACGUCAAGAACACUUUGAGUUCGUACUUGAACUUCAAAAAAUCAACAUCAAAUACUGGAGUUUUACGUUCAAAUUUCUUGAACCUGACCCCAAUUCCUUAUGAACAGACUGGUAAAUUUGUAGUCAUCAGCACCAUUAACGGCAACUAAAGGCCAAAGGCAAAGACUCCAGCAAAUAGACCAAGGCCUUGUAGUCAUCAGACCCUUGAUUCAUCAAUGAAAGUUGGGGUUCGACCAUAAAAUCAAUUGGCAAUAUGGGGAGUAGACCAACCUCUUAUAAGCCCAUACAAGAUCCCUCCUCCCAUCAAUGUGGGACUCAUUCUUAACACGCUCCCUCAUGUGUGGCGAAUUUUCAAGCAUUACACAAUGGGAUGACGUGGAGCACGUGUCGCAGUUUGACUUUACACAUGGGACAACCUGCUCUGAUAUCAUAAAAAAAGUUGAAGUUCCACCAUAAGCCGUUCGAACUUCUUUGUGCACAAACUCCUCGGCAAAAACAAAACAAGCAUAGCAUUCGGGCUAGACUGAUUGAUGAAGUUUACUUUGAGUCAUCAACUUGUGGAAUGUGCCUGGAAAUUUGUCUCCCUUCCAAACUCCCAUCCUAACGAUUUCAACAAACUGCACAUCCAGGACAUCCCGAACGUCUUCUAUAUAAACCGGUAAUAUCAUGCUUGCUUCUUCACAUCCAGCUGGCCAAUCACUACUUGAAGCACAGAGCGCCCUCUCAUCACCGGUGGUUCUUUGCGAGCAAUGGCUUUUGAAAGAAAACUUUUGAUUGUUACCAUACUCAUCACCUUGGGGACUUUGGCAUCUGAAGCCACGUCCUACACAUUGUACCAAGCUUCCAUUGCUGCAAAACAUGAGCAGUGGAUAAAAAAGCAUGGACGAGUUUACCAGGACAGCGUGGAGAAGGAAAGGCGUUUCCACAUAUUCAAAAACAAUGUGGAGUUUGUCGAGAAAUUCAACAGUGAAGGGAACAUGACUUACAGCCUUUGCGUCAACCGAUUUUCGGAUAUGAGCUAUGACGAAUUCCUCAGGUAUUAUACUGGAUACAAGCAGCCCACUGAAUCAACCUCAUCCGCAGAUGCAUCAUUUACGUACGAAAACCUAAGCCCGACGGAUGUUCCCCCAAGCAUUGACUGGAGGGACAAUGGAGCUGUUACUCCAGUAAAAGAUCAAGGGCGCUGUGGUAAGAGCACCAACCGCCAUAUUAACAUAGGGCAAAGCUUCCUAGUACAUAUGUAUGUAUUACAUUAAUUACUUUCUUCGUGCAUUCAUUCUUACGGAAAUUAAUUCAUAUCCGUUUGUUCGAAUACAUGCAGGUUGUGUCUGGGCAUUUUCCGCAGUGGCAGCAGUCGAAGGGAUCAUCCAAAUCAAAACCGGCAAAUUGAUAUCACUGUCUGAGCAACAACUUGUGAGCUGUGAUACAAUUAACAAUGGCUGCCAAGGUGGUUCGAUGGAUAAAGCCUAUGCAUACAUUCAACAAAACGGAGGAAUUACCAGUGAAGAAAAUUACCCAUACCAGAGUUUAAAUGGCAGUGCCGGAACAUGUGAUAUGAACAAGGCAUAUAAGGCUGCUGCCCGGAUAACUGGUUAUGCAGAGGUACUUUCCAUCAAUGAAACCGAGCUACUCAAGGCUGUGUCCAUGCAACCAGUCUCUGUUGGCAUCCAUGCCUCACCAGCCUUUCAGCAAUAUUCAGGCGGGGUGUUCACCGGUGAUGAUUGUGGGACAGAAUUGAACCACGCUGUUACCAUCAUUGGGUAUGGGACAACUGAAGAUGGCACCCCCUAUUGGUUAAUCAAGAAUUCAUGGUCCGAUACGUGGGGUGAGAAUGGCUACAUGAAGAUUCUUAGAAACGCUGAUGCCCCAGGUGGUGUUUGUGGCCUCGCUACGAGAGCUUCCUAUCCGACUACAAGUACUACAGACCAACCCAUAGGCUGUGAAAAUGCCUGUAUUUUUUACUUGAUAAAAGUAUGAACUAUGAAAUUGCACUAUUUUACCUUUAUAUUCAACAAUGAAUUUUCCUACCCUGCUUAGGCUAAAUUAAUAACCACAGCUGCAACGGCAGUUUGCUGGAUUAUGCCUUCGAAUACAUAUAGCAAAAAAGAGCAAUUGACAAAACAAGCAUGCUUCCCAGAUAACUGGUUAUGGAACGUGCCUUCCACAGUGAAAACGACCUAUUGAAGGCUGUGUCUCCAUGACAAGCCUUUCAGUUUCCUAAGGUGGGAUUUUCUCCAAUGAUUGUGGGACAGAACUGAACCACGCAUUUGCAACCAUCGGCUAAGGAGUGAAUAAAGACGGCACCAACUAUUGGUUGCUCAAGAUGGGAUGGGAGGUGGGGUGAAGUGAGAAUGGCUAUAUGAAAAUUUGCAGAAACAUGCCAUUGUAUCUUUGUUGGCUGGCUAUGGAUUCUUCUUAUCAAACUAUCUAAACUAUAGAUAUAAUCAAGGGGUUGAGAGAUCAUCUCGACUUCACCUAACAAGACAAAUCUACCAGGCUUCGCCUAUAGCCAAGAAAAUUUCUUUUAGUAGCUAAUCCAUACCAUUCAAUAAACUUUCGGGAUCUUAUAAAACAUUAUUGAAAACAGGAUAAUCUAUACAUUUCAUUUGGUAUUUUGAUAAAUUUAGUGAUAUGGAUAACCGAAAAUGAUUUCUUACAACAAAGCUAACAGAACAAAAUGGAUAUGCAAAAUGGGUUCUGAUUCAAACAAAACCAAAUUAGCCUUUCCAAAUGAAACAAUACAAAAGGUAUCAUGAGAAAUAAGUUUGAAAUUCUGCCUUUGUUCACAAGAAUAAGCUAUUGGACAUCAUUAUCUUACAUGCCAUAGCACUUACCUAAUAAACUGAAUAUGAAAAGACGCAAUCAAGCACGUUUUCCUGGGAUUGCUCUUCGUGCAGAGGACCUUCUACCCCUUAGCACGUCGGCGCUUCAUCAUUGCUCUCCCACCAGUGGUUCUCAUGUGUCUACGGAAGCCAUGGGUUCGAGCCAAGGAUUUCCUGGACCUACUUCUCUUGGUUAGACACAGGGCAGCCUUCCCGACCCUCACCACCAAGCCAGAGCCUCUUCUUCUUCCAACCCCAACACUAGAGCUCAAAUCCAACUGUUCGUCUUGAGGAAUAUCCAGUGAGGACGUUUCCUGGCCAACGAGCACACAGCUUCCCGAGAGGUUGGCGUCGGUUGAUAUUGUCUGUCGAGCUUCUGCUUAUUGGCGGGCUGUAAGAGAAAGACAGAGUUAAUCCUGAAAUGUGCCUUUGUGGGGCCUUAGGUGUAGGCCUUGAGGCUCACAAUCAAAAUUAACCUUUAGGUGUUCAGGCGUGCCACUGCCAUCUUUAGCAUGACAGAUGUAAAACAGAUGUUUAGUUUGAUUAAAUAUGCUCGAGUUUAGUAAUGAAAUGUGUCUUUGUGGGCCCUUUGGUGUAGGCCUUGAGGCUUCCAAUCAAAACUAACCAAGUACUUGAACAUAUAUUGGUUGUUUCAUUGUUGCAGAAAUCUCACGACCGUUAUACUUUAAUCGCCCAAGCCCGUAGAGCAGAACGAACUCAGAUAGGUGCCUUUAUCGGGCCUUAGGUAUAGGCCUUGAGGCUUCCCAUCAGAAUUAAUUCUAUACUCAAGCGUUCUGUAACAAUCAUGAUAUAACAGAAGUAAGACUAAGCGUUCUGUAACAAUCAUGAUAUAACAGAAGUAAGACUAAGAAAUAGGCUAAUUACUUGCGCCCCAAGUAACUUCGGACUUCUUGUUAUCAAGGACUGUCGUGGAUGGGUUAAGUCCACAUAGGGUUCUUUUUUAUGCCUUGAGACCAAGGACUUUUAAUUGAUCAAUCUUGUCUGCCCGAAUGGUUAGAACUUAGAAGUCUUUUAAUCAUAAACUGGCUAGAAAUAAUUUGGAUGCAGAUGGAAAUAUACAUCAUAUUACUAGAUUUAUGAAUGAAAGACAAAAACCAAGGAGGUCGGGCAAGGCUGGUCGUCUUGCAACUUCCUCUCUUUGUGAUUUACAAAGGGUUUGAGUGCUAGAAGGGUAGGUUGGAAGAUGAGUUUACAAGAGAGAAUCGAUACUACAACAAGAUUUAAACAAGGUAGCAAAGCUUUUACAAAGGCUUUCUGGUGAAGGUUGAUCCCGAAAUGGAUGAAAGCUUGGGGGCUGACUACAGCUUCGUGAAGGCAAAUCUAGUUUGAGCAGAGUUUGUGCUUGUGUUUGUUUGUUUGAUUGAGUGUCCUUGUCUCUGGUUUUUCUUCCUCCUUUUAUAGACGAUUUGGCUUGGCUGCCUGCAGUAUUGAUUUUGCCCGAAUGCAUCUGAAGGAUAGUGACUCAUCAACUUUUUACUUGUACUGCCAUUGUAAAGUACUUUUGGGCUGAUUAGCUGGCUGGUCUACACCACUUGACCUCUAGGUAGGUGAGCAGGUAGUUUAAAUGAUCUGCACUUGGUCGGGAAAAAGGCCCUUUCUUUCUUUUAGUCUUUGGCUGGGCCUUGGGCUUCUUGCUUUCCAUUCCUUCGUCUGGGCUAACUCCAUUUUGAGCCCCAAGUUCAAGUUUUAACCCAAACAGUGCCCCCUUCAAUUAAUAUUCAAGCUGGAAUUCCAGGCGUCAAUAUUAAUUGAAUAUCCGCAUGCCUGUAUACCUGCUCUCGGAACUUGUGUUUUCUAGACGGGAUGAAUGCAAUCUUGCAUCUCUUACUCUUCUCACAACCUUUGAGCUAUCCUCUGAGGUUCCUAUAAAUUUCGGCUCAAAACUUCUCCUGCCCAGCCAACAGAUCAUCUUCAACCUCUCCCUUUAUCUGCCUCGGGCGAUUCUGUCUAAGUUUCUUCUAAAACUGGAAAAUGGGUUCCUCAGGAUUCAAGUGGGGUUUCCUAAAACUCCCUUUUCGUAAGAAAAAAGAUUUUCAUCAAAUAUCUACUAUCUCCAACACCUUUGGUCAGACACCCCGCUAUCCCCAACACCUUUGGUCAGGCGGUUUCCUUCUGAGGGCUUGCCCUCCUGCUCGUUGCUUUGAUAACUCGGGCUUCAUCGUCAUCUGGUGACGAUCCUUAUUGAGGGUCCUCUACCAGGCUCAUCUUGGCCGCACAACCCGAUCACCUGACCAAGUUUUGUCCAUGAAGAUACCAGAAAACUAGUCGAGACACCACUGUAACUUAGAAGGAAUCAAGCAUGGCACAUUGGGACUUAAACCGAUGUAAUUUUUACCAAUUCGUCGAAAUGAAUGAAACAUCAUGUUAACAACUUUUAUCUUUAUGCUUUCUUGAAUGGUUGAUGAACAAAUACUGUACUCCGGCACCCCGGAGCUUGCUUUAUCUUACUCUUCAUCAAUAUAACAAUCCCUAACAUCCCACAGUGUAGGACAGUACUUUUUUAAGAAUUUGACAUUGAUGGGAUGUUUCUGCCAAUUUCCUUCGAUGUCAGCCAAGUAGUAUCCUCCCUCAUCUAAUACUUGAUUAACAAUAAAAAGACAUUCCCAUGUCGGGCUCCAUUUCCCAAAACCCCUAAGCUGAGCUCCUAGAGGGAUGACUGCCUUCCAUACUAAAUCUUCUUCCUUGAAAGACUUUAGUUUUACCUUCUUAUUAUACGAUCGGGCAACAGCUCUCUUCCCUUCCUAAAUCUGGUUCAAGGCCUCAAUUCGGACUACAUCUAAAUCUUCAAUCCCUUGACACAUAGCUUCUAUGUACUCUUCACUAUGUAACCCGAAUUGAUUUUGAAUCCUGACAGAACUUACAUUGAUCUCAAUGGGAAGAACCGCAUCUUGCCCGAAUGUUAAAGCAUAAGGAGUUGUCCCUGUUCCUACCCUCUUAGAGGUUCGGUAUGCCCACAAAGUAUUCCCUAGCUUUUCAUGCCACUUUUCCAGACUAUCGAUCACCAUUCUUUUGAUAAUCUUUAUCAAAAUCUUGUUGCUGGCCUCUGCUUGACCAUUUGACUGAGGGUAGUAAGGACUGGACUGGAUCAUCUUUAUUUUGUAUUUGUUUGCAAAUUCUUCAACUUCUUUUGAUAUAAAAGAUGGCCCACGAUCCAUGACUAUGGUUUCAGACACCCCAAACCUGUGCAGAAUCUUGGUCUCAAUAAAUUUCUUGACUGCAGCUAAAGUUAUGGUCUUUAUAGCCGAGGCUUCUACCUAUUUGGUGAAGUAAUCCGUCACCACAAUUAUGAAAGUAUGCCCCUUGCCAGAUGAUGGAUAAAUCUGCCCGAUGAAGUCCAUUGCCCAUCCUCUAAAGGGCCAAGGUUUAACCACCGGAUUUAAAUGUACUGAAGGCACAUGUUGGAGAGGUUCAUGCCUUUGACAUUCCUCAUAGCCUCGAGCAUAAAACUUGCAGUCUUUUUCUACGUCGGGCCAGAAAUACCCAUACCUCCUAAUCAACCACCUCAUCUUCGUUCCAGCUUAAUGUGCCCCACAUAUCCCUUCAUGUACCUCGGCCAUUACUCUCAUAGAUUCCUCUUGGCCUAGACAUUUCAGUAGUAGCCCAUCCGGAGUUUUCCUUAGCAGAUUCUUCUCCCAUAAAACAUACUUAGUUGCUUGCUGUCUAUUCUUCUUGCUUGUGGGUGAAGAAGGAUCUUUCAAAUGAUGAAUGAUAUGCGAUCUCCAGUCUUCCGUCUCAGUUUCUAGAACUAUUACAUCUAGACUGAAUCCUUUUUCUAGGAUAGAAGGAAGAUUUCUUCUUUCAAUUUCGACAUCUACUACAUACCUCAUUUCCUAGAUUGGUACUCCCGAGGCUAUUUGCCCCAUCUCAUUGGCCGCCAUAUUAGAUUCCCUGGGAACAUGAUUAACUGAUACUUCGGAAUCCCAAUAGCUCAACAAUUGCGUGGCCGCCAAGUAAUACCCAGCCAUGGUGAUAUGUCUGCACUUGUAUUCUCCAUUUAGCUGGUUUAUUACUAACUUUGAAUCAUCAAACACUUCUACCUCCGUUGCCCCCAGCUCUAUCAAAAUCUCCAAGCCAAUUAUUAAGGCUUCAUAUUCCACCUGAUUGUUGGUAUUCCCUUAGUAAUCUAGAAGGAACGAGUAAUAGUGGUGAACCCCUUGGGGAUUUAUGAUGACAUCUCUGCUCCAGAAGCAUUCUGAGUGUAAGAACCAUCAAAAUAAAGCCUUCAAGGAGUAAUCCAGAUACCAGUUACCCUUUUUAUUUCUUGUUGGACCCACUCUUCUUUGCCCGAGAUGCCCUUGCCUGGUGGGAUCCAAACAUUAGUUACUUUCAGGAUCCCCGGUAUAUUGACAAUCUCAUCUUGAGACUCUUAGUGCUCUGCUAAGAAGUCAGCAAUUGCUUGGCCCUUGACCGCCAUUUGGGGUACAUAUUGAAAGCUGAACUCUGAUAAUGCUAUAAUCCACUUCCCAAUCCUUCAUGUUAGCAUUGGUUUUGACAACAUAUACUUUAUCACAUCUGUUUUGGCGAUGAUGUGCACGUGACAAGGUAACAUGUAAUGCCUCAACUUACUAGCAGUGAAAUACAGAGCUAGGCAUAACUUUUCUAUUGGGGAGUAUCUUGUUUCUACCUCAGUCAGAAUUCUACUAAGGUAGUAUACUGCCUGCUCCUUUCCGCCUUCAUUGUUUUGGGCUAGUAAACUCCCGAUUGAUUUCUCUAAAGCAAAGAUAUACAGCUUUAAGGGUUUUUCCCUUUGAGGUGGUACCAACACUGGUGAAGAAGUCAAAUAGGCUUUGAUGCUGUCAAAAGCCUUUUGGUGUGGUGCUCCCCAUUCAAAAUUUUCUUUAUCAUUCAGUCUCAACAGAGGAGUCAACGACUGAAUCUUGCCCGCUAAAUUGGCAAUGAAUCUCCUUAAGAAAUUAAUUUUACCUAGCAGUCUCUGAAGUUGCACCUUGUUGGUGGGCGGAAGCGACUCCAUUAUUGCCCGAGACUUGUUCUUGUCUACUUCUACACCUCUUUGAUGAACCAGGAACCCUAAGAAGUUGUCCUCCAAAUGCACACUUCUUUGGAUUCAUCUUGAGUUUAUGGAUCCUCAUCCUUGUCAAUGCUUGCCUGAGGUCUAUCAGAUGCUGCUCUUCUGUUUUGGAUUUCACCACGAUGUCAUCGAUGUACACCUCCAUGUUAUGGCCAAUCAAAUCAUGAAAAAUAACAUUCAUCGCCCUUUGGUAGGUUGCACCAGCAUUCUUGAGCCCGAACGGCAUGACUAGAUAUUCAUAUGCCCCCACAUGACCAGGACACCUAAAAGCUGUUUUAUGUAUAUCUUCAUGGGCCAUCUUUAUCUGAUUAUAGCCGGCAUUUUGGUAGUAAUUAUAACGCACCACAAAGUAGCCCACAAUAAUCCUAUUGAUUUUCCUUAUUAACACUAAAAUUUGUCGAUUGUAGCAUAUAAAAAUAAGGGUCUUUCCCGCAGAAGAUUGUUUUAUCCAAAUACUUAAAAUGUCACAAAAACAGGGUGGCUAUCUCCACUGACCAGCCACCGAACAAUAAUUAUUAUACUAACUUACACUUAUCCAAAUGCAACGAAAUUUUAUACACAUAAACUAGACACACCAAGCUAUGCUCACACAAAUUUUUGGGAUUUUUGGAGUUGAUUAGCUAUUUAAAUUAAAUCGGACAAAACAGGACCUCAACAAGUUUUAAAUAAUACCAAUAGAUUUUAAUUCACAAGUUAAGAAAACGAGUUAGGGGACAUGCUAUCCACCACCAAAUAAUCAUGCAAGCAUGUUAUGUUUCAUUCAAAUCCCUUUUAUUUCCGGAUGAAGAUGCUCAAGUUGGCUCACUGUUAGAACUCAACCUAUAACUCUUUCUUACGUAGUAUGUUAAGAGAAUGGCGUUUUCAACUUAACUUAGUCCCUAGCAUGCAAUCUAGAUUGGCGUGUUCAUAGAUUUAACAAGUAGAAAUCAUUAAGAAUAAAAAGAGUUUGAGUCAUCACAAGGCAUCGUAAGCACUGGCGUUGUCUUACUUAUCCUAGAAAUCCGUUCACAUGUUAACCACAAUGAACAAGUGCUACUCUAGAACAUAUGUAGGUCCUCAUUCAACAAGGGCAGGUAAACAUAUAUUCAUAGCAUUAAAAUCCUAGAUAUGCUCACUAUGUAUGCAUCCAUAGAAACACAUAAAGAAUUUAUCAAUGACAUAAGUAGUGAAACAAUUUUCAUCCUUUCAUAAAAGUCAUUCAAACAAAAUAUCACAACAAACUUACAAUCAUAUUCGGGGCUUCAAAACAGCCCCUAACUACUAAAAAUUAGUUACACAUAAUUAUGUGAAUACAUAAGUAAUUAUCCAUAAAGAAAAUAACAAAGAAAGAAAACACCCGUUUUUGGUUCCUCCUCUGCGCCCUCUGCUUCUGUCAGUCCCCUCUGCUUCUGUCCGUCAGUCUCUGCCUAGCUCCUGACUUCCCUCUGCGUUCACUUCCCCCUCUCUCUUGUUUCUGUCGGUCUCCUCUGCUUCUCUGUGCGCUCUGUUUUUCUGCGCUCUCCCUCUCCCCUUUAUUUUCUGCUCAUCUGCUUCUCCCUAUUCUUCUGUCGCCUGUCAGUCUCUUUUUUAUUCUGUCAGUUUUUCUUUGCUUUUUAUCCCGCACUCCUCACUCCCUCUCCUGCUUUUUGUUCCACUUCCAUCCCAUGCGCACUCCACUUCCUUCCCAUUUCUUUAUUUUCUGUUUUUCUUUCUCUGCUUUCUGCUCAGUGUCUUCCCCACUCCCUGCUUAUUAUUCUUCUUUUCCUUUUCUUAUUCCUUCCACUUUUCUUUGUCUACUGUUUUUUUUUCUUUUCUUUCUGUCUGUUCUUUCCAGCCCGUGUCUCUCUUCCUUCGUCAAAAGGCAGCCAUUUCAAUUCACACUUAGUGCUCCACUUCCUAGUGCUCCACCUUUUAUUCUUUUAUUUGUUUUUCUAUUUCUUUUAUUCCAUUUUGCUUGAAAUUUAUCCUAAAACAAAAUUAACUGCACAUUAACACAAGGUAAGGUAAAAUGCUACAAUUUUAACACAAAAACAUCACAAAGACUUUAGAAAUGGAUGAUAUAAACGCAUGAAAUAUAUGAGUGAUCACAUUUCCAUCCAUAAAAGAUAAGACUUUAUGUUUUGCUACUGCAUCUGUGGACAGAUCAGCCAUGGGCAUGGGAUAUUCAUCUUUUGGUGUGGCACCAUUAAUAUUUCUGUAAUUAACGCAACAUCGUACUGCUUUUGUUAUGGCUUUUAAAAAGAGUACAAUGUUGGCCAACCACUCUACAUUUUUGGCAGGUCUAAUAAAUCCAGCUUUCACUAGUCUUUCAAUUUCUUCUUUGACAUUUUCUUCUAUUUCUUUUGACAUCCUUCGUGGUGCUUGCUUAACAGGUUUAUAUCCCUCCUUGAUGGGCAUUCUGUGUUCUACCAAGGUUGAAUCUAAACCUAGCAUCUCAGUAUAACGCCAAGCAAAACAAUCUUUAAAUUCUUGCAGAAGACAGACAAUCUUUGCCUAAUCAUUAGUUUCUAAUAAGCCACUGAUUUGUAUAGGUCUUGGAUCUCCUUCUAUUCCCAGAUCAAUAACUUCCAAAGGAUCUUGAACUUCUGGUGGUGGCUUGUCAGGUUCUGCACACAAAAAUUCGACUAACUCCGGGCUUUCGGGCAAGUCGUCUGGCCUAUCCAAGUCAUAUAUGCACUCGGCCAUUCGUAUAUCCACCUCCAAUUCUUCUCCGCAAAGUUCUUCCCUGCUUUUAUCCUGGCCGGUCAAAGUUCCUAGCUGCCAUUCCUACUCUUCUUUUCCUAAAAGUUCCCUUUCUUGUUUUCUCUCUAUCCUAUACACCAACAGUCUUUUGAUCAGGGACCAGACUGCCGUUACCUGAUCCUUUCUCUUUUGUUCUGUCAUUGAUGGUGUUGAGGUGUUGGGACAAUACAGGGUCUAUCCAAUUCUUCUCUAGUGAGGAACUUUCCUUGUUCUAAGAGCUUUUGGGCCGUCACCUUGGUAGGGUGGCUGUUCUUAUCUCCUCCUGAACAUUGCAGAAUUCCUACAUUGGGAUCGUAGAAACUUGCCUCCACUACAUUGGCUGUAGGAAGAAAUGGCCGUGAUUCGGCCUCCACCAUCUCCCAAAAGCCUGGUCCCCCUGUUCCUGCUUCAUGGUAAACAACAACUUAUUGAUGUAGAGUGGAGGGUAUGGCAAGACUUUGGUGGAUCCAGUCCCUUCCGAGUAAUGUUCCAUAAGUGGAAGUACAAUCCACCACAAAGAGUGCCAGCAUGAUUUGUUUGGAUCCCAAGUCCACUUCUAAAGGCAAUAUCCCAUGAGUGGUGAUAGCGCCGGAGAAGCUCGAAACCGUGAGGUCUGUGGGAAUGAGAUCUUCUACACUUCUCCCUAUCUUCUUCAUUUGCUUGGCUGGUAGUACGUUAACAGCCGUUCCACCAUCAAUCAAAACUCUUUUGAAGGGCACCCCUUCCAAAUGAGCUGCAACAUAUAUUGGCUUGAGAUGGUUGGCUAGCAACAUGUUUAGGCGGCUGAACACCAUUUUAUCGGUAUAGAUUCUUAAUGGACCAUCCUUGAAUGUCUUAGAUGAUUCAGCUUUUCCCAACUCUUCUUCUCUGGCUACUUCAACACUAACAUGGGCCAUCAUUGGCUCUGCUGUCAAAUAGUCACAUUCCAUAGUGGUGGGCUGAUCAGGUUCAACACCAAACAUGGCGGAUAACACAUACGUCAUGUUGAUAUGAAAGGUACUAGGCUCUGGAAAGUCUUCUUUCUUGCUCCCGAUUUGUUCCAUAAACUCAUCUAACCAGGUCAUCGCAUCUUCUAGGAGUAAUGGUUUUGGUGCCUCCUCCUGUUGAUUUAUGCCCGAAUCUGGUAUCUGCUUUAGAACUUCGCCGAAAGGAUCCAAUGAUAUAGAAGGGAGCUUUCUUUCAGGCGAAACAGUUCUAAAACAAAUAGGCUAUGUCCUUCGUCCAGGAGUUGGCCUCAUUAUCAUAUCUUCUUGAGCUCUCCUCAAUAUCCUGUACUUUCUAGGGUGUAGGCUUUGUGGUACAUGGUUUCCUUCACCUUCUGUUUUGCUAUUAGCCCUCUGCACCUCUUUUUUACUCCUCCAGUUAAACUGACUACUUCCUCAGAUGAUGUUUUUUCAAACUUUUGAUUCUUGGAAGCUUCAGAUGUCGCGGGAGUCUUUAAAGAAUUCAUGUAGGCUUUAUGCUGCCUCUGGACCCUUCUGAUCAUAGAAGCUCCCAUUUGUUUGGUAGGUUGUCCAUUUUUCCCGACCACGUACCAUUUUCGCCCAAGACGGGCAGGGUUAUCCUUUUUGACAGAAUUUGUUAUCCUAUCAUUCCUUUUAUCUUCUCUCCCUACAUGGUCAUAUUGAGGAUGCCUUAUUUCCCUCUCUUUUAUACCUUUAGCCUCCUUGUCUUCCGCCUCCUCAGAAGCUUCGUGAUUUCAAAACACUUCUGAUAAAGCUCUAGGUUGGGAAUCCCCUCCUAACCGCUGAAAAACACUUCGGGAAGUCUCUCUUCCUGCUGUCCACCUAGCUUUUUCAUGGGCCUCUUUUCUUUCUUCGUCCUCUUUCCUCCUGAUUAGCUCAUGAUCAAUAAGGACUCCUGCCGGCGGUACUUCGAGCUCACACUCACAUUGGCAUCUACUGCACAGAACCAUCCCUUUGAUUUUGGCUGCUUUUGGAUGUUCGGGCAAUUUGAUCACCCUUUUAUGGAUUUGUCAGCUGACAUUCCUUCUUCUAUCUCCUUUGCAACCUUUCAUUUCCUCUUCUCGGCCCAUGCUACAUUAAUCAUAUUAACUAGGGCUUCUGAAAAGGGGUAUGCAUGCUUGUUUAGCAUUGUUUCGACUUGCCCCUGAUAUGGGCUAGGUGGAUUAUGUGCCAAGGUCAUCUCUUCAUCUGGCUGGCUGGCCUCCAGUUUUUCUCUUUUUUCUUCCCCAUCAUCUUUCUCCCUGACUAGAAGUAAAGAUAUAGGAAUAGUUGGUUUCAUAACUGGGUCUGUUUUCCUUUUGAAGCCUGUGGAGGCGUUUUCCAAUCUUUGCAACAUCUGCAACAAGGUAGUUUGCAAAUCUUCAGGUAGCUUUGACAUAUCUCUUUGGCAAUUAGGAUUUGAUCAAUGUAUCCCACCGGGCGUGCCAAAACUAUGUUCGUCUUGAGGAAUAUCCAGUAAGGACGUUUCUUGGCCAACGAGCACACAGCUCCCUGAGAGGUUGGCGCCGGUUGAUAUUGUCUGUCGGGCUUCUGCUUAUUGGAAGUCUGUAAGAGAAGGACAGGGUUAAUCCUGAAAGGUGCCUUUGUGGGGCCUUAGGUGUAGGCAUUGAGGCUCACAAUCAAAAUUAACCUUUAGGUGUUCAGGCAUGCCACUGCCAUCUUUAGCAUGACAGAUGUAAAACAGAUGUUUAGUUUGAUUAAAUAUGCCCGAGUUUAGUAAUGAAAGGUGCCUUUGUGGGCCCUUUGGUGUAGGCCUUGAGGCUUCCAAUCAAAACUAACCAAGUACUCGAACAUAUAUUGGUUGUUUCAUUGUUGCAGAAAUCUCACGACCGUUAUACUUUAAUCGCCCGAGCCCGCAGAGCAGAACAAACUCAGAUAGGUGCCUUUAUCGGGCCUUAGGUAUAGGCCUUGAGGCUUCCCAUAAGAAUUAAUUCUAUACUCAAGCGUUCUGUAACAAUCAUGAUAUAACAGAAGUAAGACUAAGAAAUAGGCUAAUUACUUGCGCCCCAAGUAACUUCGGACUUCUUGUUAUCAAGGACUGUCGUGGAUGGGUUAAGUCCACAUAGGUUUCUUUUUUAUGCCUUGAGACCAAGGACUUUUAAUUGAUCAAUCUUGUCUGCCCGAAUGGUUAGAACUUAGAAGUCUUUUAAUCAUAAACUGGCUAGAAAUAAUUUGGAUGCAAAUGGAAAUAUACAUCAUAUUACUAGAUUUAUGAAUGAAAGACAAAAACAAAGGAGGUCGGGCAAGGCUGGUCGUCUUGCAACUUCCUCUCUUUGUGAUUUACAAAGGGUUUGAGUGCUAGAAGGGUAGGUUGGAAUAUGAGUUUACAAGAGAGAAUCGAUACUACAACAAGAUUUAAACAAGGUAGCAAAGCUUUUACAAAAGCUUUCUGGUGAAGGUUGAUCCCGAAAGGGAUGAAAGCUUGGGGGCUGACUACAGCUUCGUGAAGGCAAAUCUGGUUUGAGCAGAGUUUGUGCUUGUGUUUGUUUGUUUGAUUGAGUGUCCUUAUCUCUGGUUUUUCUUCCUCCUUUUAUAGACGAUUUGGCUUGGCUGCCUGCAGUAUUGAUUUUGCCCGAAUGCAUCUGAAGGACAGUGACUCAUCAACUUUUUACUUGUACUACCAUUGUAAAGUACUUUUGGGCUGAUUAGCUGGCUGGUUUACACCACUUGACCUCUAGGUAGGUGAGCAGGUAGUUUAAAUGAUUUGCACUUGGUCGGGAAAAAGGCCCCUUCUUUCUUCUAGGCUUCGGCUGGGCCUUGGGCUUCUUACUUUCCAUUCCUUCAUCUGGGCUAACUCCAUUUUGAGCCCAAAGUUCAAGUUUUAACCCAAACACCAACCCCAAAGAUAAACCUUCAAAUUGAAAAUCAAGUUCUUAUCAAUUCAUGGCCUAAAGAAAUAUCAUUUGGCAAGCUCUUCAAUAGAAACCAAAUAAAGGUGCCAGCUUUUUUCAUUUUUGCGGAAGUAUUAGUAUCGGGAGAUGGACCCACUGCAUAUACAUAUAUAUGUUCUAUCCACUUCUCUGGUAUAACCCAGAAUCGUACAGCUUCAACUUCGGGUGAUUGACCAUGGUUUCUUCACUGGUGUAACCCACUGCCGUACAACUUCACCUUUGGUGAUGGUUAUGCCUUCGGGCCACUAUGAUACCCCGAGUGAGUACAGUAUAGAUGAUAUAUACGGAUUUUCCUUCGGGCGGCGUUAGCAUCAUUAUUGAGCAUUAUUUUACACGUACUUGUUUUACGAAUGUUUUCAUGGCAUGCUAGAGCUUUCAGAAAACCUAUUAUGUCGUAUUAUGUGUUUUUAAAACAGAGGGUUAGUAUGUUCAUAAAGAAAAUGGUUUUCUUAUUAUUAGCACUAUUAUUAUAAACUUUGGUUUACCCACUCUUUUGGUUUUGCGCCCCUUCAGGAGUUAGAAUCGAGGCACACGAUCCCGGCAUCAGGGCACGUCCACUUAGGUAUCUUCGAGUCUUCUCAAGGUAGGACCCAUUCCUCUGUUCGUACCUUUUAAUAAUAAUUCUUUCAUAUUAUUAUUGAUUAGUUGUAUGCUCUGAACACGAUUCUGAGUUGGUAUAUUUCUUUCUAAUUACAUAUUUUAAUUAUAUGCAUGUUUAAAAUGGAUUCAUUGCCCUCGAGUGUCGGCCAGCACGUGCUUUGACGUAGGAAAAGCCAAGGGAGUCUCAGGGAGACGGGGGAUGAUAACCUAGGAUUCGCUCAACUAGGGGCGACGGAGCUCGCUCACGUCGCUAAUCGUGGAUUCUCUCACACGACCAAGCCAAAUGCUUGAUUUUAGAAUGAGAAAUCACUCUCUUCAAAUGUACAAGGCAAAUACAAUUUUAAUUCAUUCAAGUCUGGCAUUCAAGGCUUUCUAGUACAAUAUUUAUAAGCGUUUACAAAUUAAUAGACUUUAAGUUUCUAUGACAUCCUUACAACUCCCAAAAUAACUUAACAAAUUCCUAAGUAAUUAAAAUACAAAACCCUUGUUAUUCCAAUGCAUAUUAAUGGUUUCAAAUUGUUUUCUCCAAGUCUACUUCCUGCAUCAUGCUUACCCUGAUAUUUGGGGAUAUCGGAUCGGCGCGUGUCAAAAUAUGUGAUUGGAGACAUGUUUUUGUAGAGUGAGAUUAAUGGUACUAGUCCAGCAAUCACCAUGAAGGUUUAGAAAAUCCAUUUCCUAAUCAUGCCAAGACAUUUUGUUUCAUUUCAUCUUCAACUUUCUCAAGCUAGGAAUCCACCGCAGAUAGCUCUUUCAGCUUCUCUUUCAUUUCAUCUUCAACUUUCUCAAGCUAGGAACCCACCACAGAUAGCUCCUUCAGCUUCCAAUGGCAGCUAAUUCUCAUCCACUACUUGUAUCAGAUUCCAAUCAAUUGAAACACGACAGGGUUGUUAUCUAUGACAAAAAGAAAUCCCUCGAAUCACAGGAUAAGACGCAAAAUGCACAUCCAGGACAUGCUGAACGUUUUCUAUAUAAACUGGUUAUCAUGCUUGCUUCUUCACAUCCAGCUUGCCAAUUACUACUUGAAACAAAGCAAAGCCAUUGUCGACACAGAGCGCCCUCUCAUCAUCAGUGGUUCUUUGCGACCAAUGGCUUUCGAAAGAAACCUUUGAUUGUUACCAUACUCAUCACCUUGGGGACCUUGGCAUCUGAAGCCACGUCCCGCACAUUGUACCAAGCUUCCAUUGCUGCAAAACAUGAGCAGUGGAUGAAAAAGCAUGGACGCGUUUACCAGGACAGCGCGGAGAAGGAAAGGCGUUUCCACAUAUUCAAAAACAAUGUGGAGUUUGUCGAGAAAUUCAACAGUGAAGGGAACAUGACUUACACAGCCUAUGCAUCAACCGAUUUUCAGAUAUGACCUAUGACGAAUUCCUCGGGCAUUAUACAGGAUACAAGCAGCCCACUGAAUCAACCUCAUCCGCAGAUGCAUCAUUUACGUACGAAAACCUAAGCCCGACAGACGUUCCCCAAAGCAUUGACUGGAGGGAGAAUGGAGCUGUUACUCCAG
Molecule: long non-coding RNA, 64580 nt
Filed under: Malus domestica (apple)
Lineage: Eukaryota; Viridiplantae; Streptophyta; Magnoliopsida; Rosales; Rosaceae
Description: long non-coding RNA (MDOM_LNC009698)
Source: RNAcentral